This 68391-nucleotide long non-coding RNA is filed under the name Brachypodium distachyon (stiff brome). Its description in RNAcentral is "long non-coding RNA (BDIS_LNC000743)". The stretch from base 52822 to 52958 matches the Rfam family "MIR1120/MIR1122 microRNA precursor family". The record is from RNAcentral. Lineage: Eukaryota; Viridiplantae; Streptophyta; Magnoliopsida; Poales; Poaceae.
UGCUGCAUUAAUCGUGUCGAGUUGCUGGAUUAGAUUGGAUCGUUUUUCAUAUUUUUUCUACUAGAUCGAACUUGCUUUUGGUUUUCUUGUUGUUCGUGUGACGCAGGUUUCCUUCAUCAAUCUUCCGCCGCCAAACUCCCUGCCACACCACCACCACGCCAUAAUCUUCCGCUACCACCAUAUCUUCCAUCGAGUCCUACACCGAGUCCUUCUCCGAGUUCGUGUCCGAGUCCAAUCGAGAGUGCUUUUGGAAAGUGUUUCAUAAUAGAUUGAUUUUUGUUUAGAGAUCAAGUUGUUCGGAAAGUUUUUAAAAAAAAGAAAGGAAAGAAAGAAAGAUAAAAAACGAAAAAAAAGAGAGAGAAAGAAUCAGUUUCGGAUCCACGUUGAGAGAAUUUUAGUUUCGGGUGGGUUUGACCCGUGUUCAGUAAAACGGGCGUAUCUUCUGCAUACCAACUCGGAUUUGGACGUUCUUGGACCUUUUGGAAAGCUCAUGACGAGGCGCAUCAGGAAAUAUCUAGAGCUUGGGCCUGCACGUUCACCCUCAAAUUCGGCUUCUAAGGUGGACUUUCCGAGUUUCCAAGUUGCUGCAUCCGUUUUCCGACGUCGCUGCAGCCCGGUGUUUUUCAGUUUUCUCCACCGUCCGACAUCCGUUUUGAUUGAAUUUGCCCUUUCUGGAAAGCUUGUGUCGAUACGCUUCUAACCCAUAUUUUUCCAUAUUUUUCUGAAUUUUUCUUACUGCAGCCUUUGCUGUUCUUCGACAGACCGACGUACAGUUUUCCGAUCCUUCUUUUGCGUGAGUUUCUGGGGUUAAAAAAAAAACAAGAAGAAGAAAAGAAUAAGAAGCCAAACAGAAGGCCACAAAAAGAAAAAAAAAGAAAAAAAAAUCUCAGGGAUUUACUUGUUGUGCCAUGUUUCUAUCCUACCUUCUUCAGUAUCUAGGCUUAGAUUAUUUCUGUAAUUCGUUCUUAUCGACUCCAGCAGUUAGGACUAGCAUUAUUAAGCAUAUUUUCAAAUUUGCAUUGCUGAUUUGAUUUUUUCCUAUUUCUUGCUACUCACAAAAGCCUCCAAGCUCCACAGAUUCUACACCUAGGUUAGUUUGUUACCGAGGCAUCGAUACAUUCAAUCUUCGGAGGGCUUGGUUACGCCGCUGGCCAUCACCUUCCUGUUUUGCACGGUAAGAACUCGUAAGAACUUGAUUUUUAGCUUGAGAGUUGAGCGACUUGUAGCCACAUCCUAGUUGGUUAGACCACCUGUUUUGCCGCUUUCGGAAACCCAACUUAUCAUCUCGUUGAGACAUGGGUUUGAUAUAGUAUAUUCGCAAUUUCAGAUUGCAUCCGCUAUUUAUCUUGUUCUUGCUUGUUCUUUGAUUGCUUGAAGGAACAAAGACCUUCGUGGUCAGGUUGAUCGUGCCCCCGCGUGAUCAAUAACCCUCUGGAGUUGGUGUAUCGAUUGCUAAGGCGCUGCCUUCUAGGCUGUGGUCGGAUCAUCAACGUCACCUCCUACCCAAAUCAAGAGUUCUCAACCUCAUCGAAAGAUCGGGCCACCCCGACCCAUAUCAAGGUGUCUCCAAGGCGGGGGCUGCUGCAGAGGCGCGAUGGCGGUGCAUGCCAUCCGUGCUGAGCGCCGAUGGGUGCACAGCCAUCGCGGCCUCGCCGCAUCCCUCCAGCAGGCGGUGUCAAGGCAAGGGUUGCCGCAGAGACGCUGUGGUGGUGCAUGCCAUCAGUGCUUAGCGCCGAUGUGUGCACUGCCACAGCGCCCUUGCCGCAUCCCUCCAGCAGGUGUUACAAGUGCAGAGCUACUACGUUCGACUAGAGAACAAACAGCUAAGUGCAUUAUCCUAGGCGCCUAGCUUUCUAAUCUCAACGCUGGCCGCUGGCUCGUUGGUGUGGGUUGGGUCUUGUGUGUGGCUGGAGUGUUGGAAGGAUGCUUGCGGGGGGAGUACGCUCCUCAUGCGGCUUGCAGGUCCGUCCCGCAGGCGCGUGCUUGGGACUAGCUAACCCGCAAGUGGAGUGGCUCGCCGCUGCUGCCUAACCCCAGGUCGGCACUGCCGGUCCGUCCCGGGUCCCUGGUCUGGUUAAGUGGGUAGCGUGCGAGUCCCCGGCAACACAAAGCAUAACACACGAGGAUAGGAAGACCCACCCCGCGAGUCAAUUUCAGGAGCAAAUACCAAGUAGAACCAGAAAGCGGAAUUUCUAAAAGUAGCAAACGAUUACAUGGGAUAAUGAAACCAUAAUUGUUUAACGGCGCCAAGCGCCACUUGCAGGAAACAAAAAUAAAACAAAAGAUAACGGGGGACUACGAUGACUUACUGCCGGGGUCUUCCGCUGGAGGCUCCGGCUCCGGCUCUAGCUCCGGCUUCCGCUUCAUCCGCUCCACCACCUCGUCGACGAACCUACCCACCGCCCUGGUGUGGGAGGGGCCAUCCUCAUUGUCCGACCACGCGUCCAGCAGCACCUCGAAGGAGAAGUCGGGGUGGUAGUAGUGCACCCGGGGGAGGAUCGUCUCGGUGAUCUCCCUGGCACACGAUGCUAUCUCCCCGUCGCAGAACUUGGAGAUCCACACGUCCAGCGCCCCGAGAUUUCCCACCAUGUCGGAGAAGAACGGGAUCAGGGUGCUGACGUCCGUGCCGUCCACCUUCGCCACCUGCAGCUCGAACCUCGGCGACAGCGCGCGAACAGCCUAGGCGAUCUCGUGUAGCUUCUCGGUCUCCCUCCGCUGCUGCUCCGCCAACUUGUCGUGGUUGGUGCUUGACAACGCCACCGCAAGCUUGGCCUUGCGGAGGAUUUCCGUGAGUCGCACGAUCUCCUUGGUCUUGCCCACAUUGUCCUCGCCAGUCUUGACGAGCUCGCCCUGGGCAGUGGUCACCUCGGACUCGAGAUGGGCGCUCCUUUCCUUGGCGGAAUUGAGCUCCCCCGCGAGUCCGUGCUCCCGGGUCCGGAACUGCUCCUGCAGCUCCUUCUCCCGCCGCGCCGACGCCGCUGUCGCGUCAUCUGCAACCUUGGCCUGCUCCUCCAGCUUCGCGCGCAACGCUUGGAGUUGGGAGGAGUAGCCGCUGACCAGCUCGCUCUUCUCGUUGAGGCGAGCUUGAGCUGUGGCCAGCACGUCUUCGUGCUCCUUGUCGGCCUUCUCCCACACCGUGGCCAGCGAGUCCAGUACCUGCUGGUGCUCGACGCGCUGGGCCUCCAGCUGCCGAAGGAGCUCCGCCUCGGGGACGACUGGCGUGGUAGCCUCGUCCCUGGCCUGCCGGGCCAGCCGGGUCUCCUCCCUUAGCCGGGAGAGCUCCUGCCUCUCUCUCUCGACAUCCAGCCGCACCUCACCCGGCUUGAGCUUUGCGAGCUCGUGGUGCUCACUCACCUUGCUGAACGAGGUUUCGAACGCUAGCAGCUGCUCCUUGAUGGCGUCGAGGAAUUGAUGCCCCUGAUCGUAGAUGCUUUGGUCCCAUGUGAUUGGGUCCCAAGUUGCCCCGGCAAGAAUGCCGAGGUCUGGGCUGGAGGUAGAGGCGGACGAUGACGAGACCCCCGCUGCCAUGGUUUGGCCGGGGGGGAGCACCGUCCCCUUGCAGGGGGGCUGCCGACUGCUCCUCAGCCACGUUCUCCUCCACACCCGCACCCGUGGGUGCGGGUCCGGUGGAGAGCCCACGCUCCCGGCAGGAGUCGUCUCCUGCUGGGCAGCCGCCGGACUCGCGCCCUCGGCCUGCAAGGCCGGGGACGCGCCGCUGGGUCCUACUCCGGUAGCGGCGGCAGGCACCACCACCGUCACGUCUGGGGCGGCGGGGCUUGUCACGGGAGCCACCUCCGGCUCGUCCCUCAACUCUGCGUCCUCGACGUCAGAGGUGAGGUCGAUCACCGUAUCGUCCGCCCCUGUGGGGGGCGCAUCGGGACCUGCGACAAGGGCAGAGUAAGUACCUCAAAUCAAGAUGGGGUACCCGGCGACGAGCGCAAGGGAGUUCUGGAUGUGUACCUUGCAGGGUCGCCACGCUUGCGGGGGGAGGCUUGUCCUCCUCUGUCCCGGCUUCUGCUGUCGGGUUGUCCCCCGCAGGCUGCGUUUCGCCUGCCAGCCAAGGCAAACACACGGUUAAGGGUCAACGUGUAGAAGGAGCAUGUACAAUGGAGUCAGGAGAGGGCUCGGUACCUGCUGCGGGCUCCUCCUCCUCUGGGACCGGAUCGGCGGCAGGCGUAGUGGCGGCGCCGCGGGUCCUUGUGCCGGUCUGACGGGCACUGGCACUGGCCCGGGUGUGCGGUUUCUUGCUGGGCGCGGUUGGUGCAGUGUUGGUCCUCCCCCUCUUGCCGGCAAGGCGUCAACAAAGAAAUGAAGGAAUCAGGGGCAAGCGCAAACUCAUAAAUAGAAGGGGGAAGAAAACGUCAGCUUACCUUGGGGGGUUGAGCUUGAGCGAGUAACCCGUGAAGAUUCCCCGCUUGGGUGGGGCCGUGGAUCCUCGUGGAGUUGCCACAGCCCCAAUUGCCGCGGCAGCCCACGGGGCGCCUGCAACCGUUGCAGGGGUAGUUGCUGCCGUCGGCACUGCCGACGCAGUCGGGGCCACUACGGCAAUAGGACCCGCGAGAGAUGAACUCCCGCGGGUUACCCCGGCCGCCGGCGCUCUUGGUCGCCACACCAGCGGCACGUCGUCCUCGUCCUCCACCUCCGCCUCGGGGAGGACCGUCCGGGCUUCGGCAACGCCGCCAGCUUCGUCGCCGGAGGACUCGUCGCCGGGCCAGCUGGAAUCCUAUCCCCCCUCGCUCUCCUCGGCCACGUGCUUCCCACGGGCAGCGGGUGGCAGAGGCUUCGGGGCUGGGACCGGGGGAUCGGACAUCAACCCCCACUCGUUGUAGGGUGGGUAGUUGCCGGUGAUGUCGUGGAGGCCCGCGACGCCGGCGUGAAGGGAUGGAGCCCCCGGGGGCAGCUCCGUGAAUGGGACGUCCUCGCCGGUGAUUCCCUUCACCCACUCCUGGAUCACCUCCGGUGUCACACCCACGCUUUGCAGGCGCGUGGUGUUGCCGGGCCCCGUGUACAUCCACGCGGGGCGGGACCGCAGCAGCAGUGGCAUGAUGCGCGGGCUGAUGUAGGUGCGCGCCACGUCCUGAUCGGUGAGCCCCGCUAGACGCAGGGCCUUGAUCUUCUUGAUGAUGGGAAGGAGUUCCGCGUCUCGUCUAUAGCGGUCCCGCCAGCUGCCGUUACUCGCCGGCAGCUCGGUGGGCGCAUGAAUGAACUCGUCGGGCUCAUCCACGCGAACCCAACACCAGCUCCCGCGCCACUCCUUCUCGAUCUUCUUCUCGCUCCGCACGAUGAACUCCGACUUCAUCUUGUCGUGCACGGGUAGAAGUAAUGGCGGAACAACGCCAACAAUGGAAUCACCACGACAAACCCCUCAUAGAAAAAUUGGAAGACGGCGAGAAGGAAGAGGGAAGUGGGGUGGAGCUGCGCAACCUUAAGCUGGUACGCCGCCAUGAGAGCAUGGACGAAGAGGGAGUACGGAGGUACGAACCCAACGAGGAUGAAGCGGCCGAACACUCGAAAGUCAUUGUCCUGGUGGUCGCCGUCGGCGGGGAAGAUGAGCGUCGCGCCGUACUCGUUGAACGAGGUGGCGAUGGCGUGCCGGAUCUUGUCGACCCCCUCGCCGUUGUAGCCGGGCAUGAAGAAGGCCCGCGUGGCCCUCAUCUCCCGGUUCUUCUGGUCCUUCUCCGACAAGGACUUCUUUGGGGCUUUCUCGCCCUUGUCGACUGCAGAGCUCGUGGAACCCUGCCCUCUCUUGGGGGCCUUGGGCACCAUGGAGAAUGUGGGUGGUGAUGAACAGGAUUAGGGAGCGCGAGGAGGAAUGGGGAUGAGGAAGAUGAACUCGGGGCUAAGUGAUUACCCCUCAAUGCAGUGGUGGGGUUUUAUAGCAUCCCAGCGCUGAGCAACGGAUACAUCCACACCCUACGGGUGCGCUGGGGAUAACUACGUUUUAAGAGGGAAAUGCGAGACGUGGCCUUAAUCACCCGCGAUUAAGGGGAAGGUUAGGGCGGAAAUCUCGCCCCCACCGCUCUGCCCGUAACGGCGGAGUCCCUGGAGCGGCGCAUGGUCGGGAGCCCGAAACGACUCGGACCCACACGUCGGUUAGGGCGUACCCCGGCGACCAAGGAUGAUUUCGCCGGGGAACAGGCGUUGCCGGCCCAUGCCCGGGGGCUACUGUCGCACCAGUGGCACCCGGGGUACCACCGUUGCUCAACGCGUGGGUCGCCUCACUUGCUUCCUGCAAGGACGGCACCCUGGGCAGCGCGGUGCGAGCUGCCCGGGAAGGCACCAGCCCGGCAGGAGCCUGGGAAGGGGGUUUCCGUGGACCAGGACUAGCCGGGCUGUGGGGGUUAUGAUGAGGACAUCCCAACUAAUGAUACAACCACAGCCCCUACAGCACCUACACCUCAAGUACCGGAGAUACAUGGACUAAUUACUAGAGCUCAUGCACGACAACUAAAUUAUCAGGUACUUUCGUUCCUCGGUACUUCAUUUAAUAUUAAUGAGAAUAUGCUGCUGCCUAAGAUGGGUUCUUUUAUGUGUUUUAGGAAUGAAGGACCUAGCUUGGACCUCAAGGAUCAGCGUUGGACAGCAAACCAUGGAGGUGGCAGCAAGGUGGCGGGAGCUAGCUCAAGUGAUGAUUUCAGAACAUUGAAACCGCCAUAACGAGAGAUGAGAAGAAGGCCGCAUCCUCUUCAUCAAUGGGAUUUCGGCCAAGUGGAGGAUUCUCCCUCCAAUGGGUAUCUAUGGGCCAAAGAUGAGGGUUAUAACCAUGCUUUAUUGGGCCUAAGGCCAUGUAAUAGGGUCCAGCCAAUUUUUAGAUGUUUUCGUUGUGUUUUAGGAGGAUUCCUAGGCCGUUUCGGAGUCCCUCCAGGUCCUGGCCGAAAACCACCUAGUUCCCCUCCUAUUUAUACCCCAUGAGCCCCCCUAUAGAGCCUUGGGUUUUGAUUAGAUAAAGUUUAGCCUUUGCUACUUUUGUGUAAUCGCGUGUGUCGGUUAGACCACCUGUUUUACCGUCAUCAAGACUCCAACUAUAUUGAGUAUUCAGAUUCGUGAACCUUCAUAUCUCCUAUUCGCAAUUUCAGAUUGUUUUUCAUCUUGUUCUUGCUUGUUCUUCCUGCCACACCACCGCCAUAAUCUUCCGCCGCCACCAUAUCUUCGACCGAGUCCCUCUUUGAGUCCUGUACCGAGUCCCUCUUCGAGUCCUGCACCGAGUCCCUCGUCGAGUCCUCCACCGAGUCCCUCGUUGAGUCCUACACCGAGUCCCUCUUCGAGUCCUACAUCGACGUCGGCUUCGCGUACUACGCCGACGGAGCCGGCCACCAUGCCCCCCAAGCGGGCUGGUGACCCUCGGAUAGACACGUGCGAAGCGCCAGCGGCACACACGCGGUCGCAUGACGUGCGACCCGUGUCGGGGGCUCAGGAGAACCCGGAGCCCUCGCGAGUGCAGCAGUCGCAGCUGCCUCCCCCACCCCCUCGGCCGUCGGUAGAUAACCGGCUGAGGGGACCGGCGGCCCCCAGCGUCGGCGCCAGCCGGGCGAGCGGGCAUGGUGCCGCCCGCGCUGGCCAGCGAGUCGAGUCGCGGGCCGAUGACACGCAGCGACAGUGACACCAUGAGCUUAUCGCGUCACGAGCGACGCCCGGGGCUCACACCCCGCGUACCCGGAGGCGUCCGAGGCGAGAGCGGACAGCAGCCGCUCGGGAAAUCGGCUGCCUCGCGCACGAACCCUAGCGGAAGCCAUCAUCGCCGCGCAGGUCAUGGUGCGGUAUGAAUCGCAGCAAGGCACGCCAGCGCAUGAGACAUGGGGCGAGGAGUUGGAUGCGCUCCUCGCUCUGGCCGCCCAGCAGCCGCAAGGCGGGGGCGUCCCGUUAGGCUCCGGCCACGGGCAGAAUCCGGAGCGCGGAGACGCGCCCCGCGCCUCGCGACAGAGGGAAAACCCUCCCCCGCAGGGAGCCUAGGGAAACGGGGACCCAUAAGGAUCCUCGGACUCGUCGCCCACCGUCGCGCGGGGUGACGCGCGUGGCAUUCUGAAUGCCCGCCAGCAAGAGGAUCUGCGCCAACGCCAAGAGCGCCGGCAUCGGCACGAGGUAGAGCGCCAGUGCCCGGAGGAGCAGGAGGAUGCUCCUAUGGGUCCCGAGGACAGCUGCGCCGCGUUCACGCGCGAGAUGCGCCGUGUGACGUGGCCCCGCAAGUUCUGAGCGCCAGCGCUCGGCGCGUACGACGGGACCUCGAAUCCCAAGGAUUUCCUGUUGACCUACACGUUGGGGAUGCAUGCCAUCGGCGCUGAAGACAAGGUCAGGGCCAACUGGUUCCCAAUGGUCCUGAAAGGAUCAGCGAGAACCUGGCUGCUCAACCUGCCUGCCGGGUCCAUCGCCACUUGUGCAGACCUCCGCAAGCAGUUUGUGAGCACGUUCCAGGGCGGCUACAAGCGCCCGAGAACCAUGGCAGAACUGCACACCAUUGUGCAAAAACCGCGAGAGACGCUGCGGAGCUUCGUCAACCGCUUCUCCAACCUCUCCAACUCUAUCCCGGAGGCGGAGGCAGCUAUCAUCGCUAACACCUUCGCCAUCAACAUCCGUGACCCCAAGAUGCACGAGAGGCUGAGCACGCAUCGGAUUCGGACGACGCAGGAUCUAUAUGCCCUGGCGCACAAGUGCGCCAUGGCCGAGGAAGGGCGCUUAGCGCCCGAGCUAGCAGCCAAGGCUGCCGCGAGCCCUAGCGAGGGUUCGCAGAAGAAGGGUUCCCGCAAGCGCAGCGGGAAGCGGGUUCUCGCUGUGGACUCGGGGGCUCCUGUCGCGAGGCCUGCAAAGAAGGCCUCGCUGGGUGGCGGGUCUGGUGGCAAGCAGGGUGACGCGCCCCGCUGCGCAUUCCACAACAACUCCACCCAUGACGCGCAGGACUGCCGCAUCCUGCAAGGGAUCAAGUAGCGGCGGGAGCAGCACCAUGAGGAGCGUCGUGCUGCUGGCGCCUGCUUCAACUGCGGUGACAUUGGGCAUCUCUCCCGAGAUUGCCCUAACGACCCCAGAGCGGGGCCGGUGCCUGCCGACGGCGGUGCCGGCAGGGACGAACCCCAGGGGGGCCGCGGCCAGGCCCGCGCGGGCAGGGAGCGCCCUCCCCGGCGACGCGACAGGACUCGCGCUGAGGAGUAGCACGAGUCCGAUUGCACUGGCGGCGACGAGCCGGGCUUCCAAGAGCCUCGCGGCGUCGCCUGCAUCCAUGGGGGAGCCUAUGCUCUCCCAUCACAUGCCGCGGUGAAGCGCCUCGCCCGCGACGUGUGUGUGUUGUUGCUGGAUGCGGAGCCACAAUAGCCGCUGAAGUGGUCGCAUGUGCCGAUCACCUUUAGCGCCGACAAUCACCCAGCGCGGCAGUUGGGUUCAGGGGUAAUAAUAACCUUCGUCGUCUCACCGAUCAUCAGCAAUAUGACGGUGACCAAGGUAUUGGUCGACAACGGAGCGGGGCUUAACCUCCUGUCCGCUAGGCUGGUGGAGAAACUCCAAGUGCCGGUGGAGCAGUUGAAUCCCACCGACCUGUUCCGGGGGGUAAACCCCGGGAUCAUGCGCCCUCUAGGGCGCAUCACGCUGCCAGUAACCUUCAGGUCCCGGGAAGUGUUCAGGACCGAACACAUAGUAUUCGACGUGGCACACACCCCGUUGUCUUACAACGGGAUCCUUGGUCAGCCAGCGGCUAUGCAUUGCGCCUUUGGCGUGAUGAAGAUGCCGUCCGUAUAUGGAGUUCUCUCCAUCAGGGGCGACCUCAAGGACGCGGCCUGGUGCGUUGGCGAGGUCGUCAGGGACGCCGCCGCGGCUGACGCCGGUGACGAAGACGUUGCCGGAGGCGACAGCUCGCCGGGCGAUGCACCGGCGACGAAGAAGGCCCGCGCUACCCUGCAAGAGCUUGCCGGGGGAAGCGCAGGCUCGAGCUCGUGCCCCGGCAAGGGACUGAAGCUCCGGGAGGAGGUUGCCAAGGGGAAGAAGCUGCCCCUCCAAGCCGGCAACAAGGAACGCACCGUCACCAUCGGUGCGAACCUUACUGCCGAAUAGGAAAGCGCCCUCAUCACUUUCCUCCGGGAUAACGCCGACGUGUUUGCUUGGGAACCAUCGGAUCUUCCCGGAGUCCCCAGGGAGGUGAUUGAGCAUCGGCUCGCGGUGCGCCCGGACGCGCGCCCCGUCAUGCAGAAGAUUCGACGACAAGCGCAAGAGCGUAAAGAUUUCAUCAAGCAGGAGGUGGACAAGCUCAAGGCUGGCGGGGCUAUCAGGGAAGUUAUGUACCCCACUUGGAUAGCUAACCCUCUAGUAGUCCCUUGCAGGGAACAAGCUCCGCAUGUGCGUAGAUUUUACUGAUCUUAAUCGUGCAUGCCCCAAAGAUCCCUUCCCUGUACCCCGUAUCGGUCAAAUAGUUGAUUCUACCGCUGGUUGUGACUUGCUGAGUUUUCUGGACGCUUUUUCCGGCUACCAUCAAAUUAAGAUGGCGGUCGAAGAUGAGGAAAAAACAGCAUUCAUUACCCCGGUUGGCUGUUAUUGUUAUACAUGCAUGCCUUUCGGGUUGAAGAACGCGGGCUCGACAUUUCAGCGCGUGCUGCGCGAGUGUUUGGGACCCCAGCUAGGCCGCAACAUGGAGGCCUACAUGGACGACAUCGUCAUCAAAUCGAAGCGCGAGGACUCGCUGAUUGAUGACCUGCGGGAAACGUUUGAUAACCUCCGCAGGAUCAAGCUCAAGCUGAACCCCGAGAAGUGCACCUUCGGUGUGGAGUCGGGUCAGCUUCUGGGUUUCUUGGUUUCACACAGGAGGAUAUAAGCCAACCUGAGCAAGAUAGAAGCCAUCGAGAAGAUGGACGCCCCCCGCAAGGUGAAGGAUGUCCAGCGCCUCAACGGCUGCGUUGCCGCGUUGGGCCGCUUCAUCUCAAGGCUGGCGAACGCGCCCUGCCUUUCUUCAAGGUGAUGAAGAAGAAGGGUCCGGUUGACUGGACCCCCGAGGCCGAAGCAGCCUUCCGGGAACUCAAGCAGUACCUGAGAUCGCCGCCCGUCCUCGUCGCCCCCAAGCCGGGCGAGCCGCUGCUACUCUACCUAGCGGCGACUGACCAGGUGGUCAGCUCGGUGCUGGUUGUCGAGAGGGAGGAAGAUGUUCCAGGGACUAAGGCGGUGGGGCAGUCGGCUGAGCGGCCCCCAGCAACCGCCUCGGACCAAGGGACCACCCCCGAGCCGGCAGCUCCUGCACCGCGUAAGCGAUUAGUGCAGCACCCGGUGUACUUCGUCAGCAUAGUGCUGCGCGACGCGCGAACGAGGUACCCACAAGUGCAGAAGCUCCUCUUGUGCACCAUUACUUCCAGGCGCACAGCGUCACGGUGGUGUCGGGGUUCUGCCUCGAGCGAGCCCUCACCAACUGUGAAGCCACCGGGAGGGUGGCCGAAUGGAGGAUGGAGUUGUCGGAGUUUGACCUCCACUUCACAACCUCCAAGAGCAUCAAGAGUACGGUCUUGGCGGACUUCGUCGCGGAGUGGACGUCGACGUGCGUGAGAGAGGAUGAGCCGAAGACCAACCUGCCCGGCAAGCUGGACGAGGACCACUGAUCCUCUACUUCGACGGUGCGUUCAGCCUCCAAGGAGCUGGCGCCGGGGUCGUCAUCAAGUCACCGACAGGGGACCAGCUGAGGUUCGCUGUCCAGCUCGAUUUCCUGAACUCCACCAACAACACGGCGGAGAACGAGGGUUCGCUCGCCAGGUUACGAGCAGCGAUCGCCCUCGACAUCAAGCGCCUAGUUGUUCGCGGGGACUCCCAGCUCGUGAUCGACCAGGUGAAAAAGGACUACGACUGCCCGCAGAUGGCGCCGUAUGUGGAGGAAGUCCACAUGCUAGCACGCAAGUUCAAAGGUCUGCGAUUCGAGCACGUCAAGCACAAGGACAACUUCACGGCUGACGAGCUGUCCAAGAUGGCAGCAGAGCGCCGGAAGCCUCCGGCGGGGGUGUUCUGCCAGAAGCAAGCGGCUCCUUCCGUAGCCCCUGAGCCGGCUGCCGGGGACGCCCCUCUGGCAACCGAAGGAACCCCCGCAACAGCAGGGGUCUAUGCCGCUAACAUAGCGGCAUGCGUUGGCAGGGAGACCCCUCCCUGGACGGUGGAAAUCGCCCGCUACUUGAAGGAGGAGGCUCUCCCGAAAGAUGACAUUGCCGCGGAGCGAGUAGCGCGGCAAGCAAAAAUGUACACUGUGGUGGAUGGAAACCUCUACCACAGGCGUGCAAACGGGGUCAAGCUCAUCUGCAUGCCGCAAGAUGAAGGGCGCGUGCUGUUGGAGGAGAUACAUCGAGGCACAUGCUCACACCAUGUGGCCUCCCGGGCUUUAGCCGGCAAGGCGUUUCGGCACGGUUUCUACUGGCCCACGGCCCUAGCCAACGCGGAGCGGCCGGUGAACACGUGCGAAGCGUGCCAAUUUCACUCGAAGAAGAGCAACCAGUCGGCGCAGGCCCUACAUGUCAUCCCUUCCUCAUGGCCGUUCGCGGUCUGGGGGCUCGAUAUCGUCGGCAAGCUACCGAGGGCAGUUGGUGGUUACGAAUAUUUGUUCGUGGCUGUCGACAAGUUCUCCAAGUGGGUGAAAGUGGAACCAGUGCGGAAGGUGAUCGCCCAGGCGGCCAUCAAGUUUUUCAAGAGCAUUGUGUGCCAGUUUGGUGUGCCUAACAGCAUCAUCACCGACAACGGCACGCAAUUCACGAGCGCAGUGUUCCAGGCCUACUGCGAGUCGCGUCCGUUGCUCAUCCGAAAAGUAACGGGCAGGCGGAGCGAGCCAACGCAGAAGUGCUGCGGGGGCUCAAGACGAGAACCUUUGACAAGCUCAAAACCCACGGGAAACACUGGGUUGUAGAACUCCAGCCCAUGCUAUGGUCAAUCAGGACCACACCUAGUCGGGCAACGGGCGAAACUCCUUUCGCCCUUGUCUACGGGGCAGAAGCGGUGCUGCCCCUCGAGCUCAAGCACGGAUCUCCCCGAGUACGCGCGUACGGCAACAACAGCCAACACGAGCAAAGGGUCGACGAUCUAAACUUCAUCGAAGAGCUUCGAUGCGGGGCUGCUGUGCGAGCCGCACGCUACCAGCAGGGACUCCGUCAUUAUCACGACAGGCGAGUCCAUCCCCGGGGGCUCGAGAACGGAGACCUUGUCCUGCGCCGGAUACAAGGAACGAAGGCCGGAAACAAGUUUACUCCGAAAUGGGAGGGGCCCUUCCGAGUAAUGCAGGUGACCAGACCGGGGGCUGUCCGGCUGGAAAUCGAAGAUGGCUUGCUGGUGCAAAAUAGCUGGAAUAUUGAGCACUUGCGCAAGUUCUACCCGUGAAGCGGCUUAGCUCGACCCUCAGGUGAUGCCGCCGAUGCAUACCUAUCGAACUAGUGUAGCCAGGCAGCCCCCGUGUGUAAACCAGUAGUUACUGUGAAUAAAGAUAAGUAUUUCUUUCCUGAACUUCAAAGUUGCCUUGCUUAGUUGUGUGUUCCCCCCUUCUUCUGUCUCCUGCUUUUGGUGCACGGAAGUGUCUUUCCAUACUUGGUUCUGAGCAGGGGGCUGCUGGAGCCUCGAAAGCGAAAACCGAAAACCCUGUUGCCGGAUCACUCCGCCACGGGGCAUGCAGUCGCUGGGUUAACCGUCACGCGCAUCUUGGGACAUGUAGUUGCCGGGUUCCCCGCAACGUGCAUCACAGGACGUGUAGUUGCCGGGCUCCCCGUGACGUGCACACCGGCUGGGAAAUAGGAUGCUCACAUCCAAGUUUGGCAUCAACCCUUCCGUGCCCGCGGGCGGGGAGGCAGGAGAUUACUCGUGUUGCUUUCGGUAUUUUCGUGAAUUUCAAAAAAAAAAAUUGCAGCACCUCGGGCCUGGUAAGAAUCUAAUCUGCAGGAAAACGUGGAACCUUGUGCACUGUAAUACCCGUGGGCUGCCCACGGGUCGCGGCAUGCAGCAGUGCCUUGUGGUGCGGAACGACCGCGCCUUGAGGGACUCACCGCACUCCGAGGCUCUUGACUCAGGAGGGCGCCGCCACGUGUGCCACAGCAACUUGGCAUGCAGGUUGGCGAAGACUGCACCACAUUUCAAGGGGAGGGAUGCCACGGGUGCUACGCUGAUCCGUCGUGCGCGGUGGCGAGCCCUUCCCCCGGGCCUAUAAAAAGCGCGCCCCAGCCAUGGAACAGCUCAGAGCGGAGCCAAGAAAGGGGCUAUUAAGACGGGCGGUGCCGCGGAGGCGCGAUAGUGGUGCAUACCGUCAGCGCCUGGCGCCGACAGGUGCACUGCCAUCGCGCCCUUGCCCCAUCGCCCCAUCGAGCCCACUCCGAGGGGCGUCGCAGAGGCACGGUGGGAGUGCAUGCCAUCAGCGCUCCGCGCCGACGGGUGCACUGCCACCGUGCCCUUGCCGCGCCUCCUCUAGCGAGCGGCUCCUGGACGAGGGCUGCCGCGGAGGCACUGGGGUAGUGCAUUCCAUUGGCGCCCGGUGCCGACAGGUGCAGACUACCGCAGUGCCCCUGUCGCAUCCCUCCAGAGGACACCUCCGCAAGGAGCAGGGGAUGCCGCGGGGACACUAUGGUGGUGCAUGCCAUCGGCGCCCCACGCCAACGGGUGCACCAUCAUAGUGUCCCUGCCGCGUUUCCCUAACAGAGCGCCACUAUAGGCGAGGGUCGUCGCGAGGACGCUGUGAUGGCGCCGGUGCCGGCGUUCGCCGUCUGUUCCCGCCCAUAACCGAGUCCCUGCCACGGCCCUCGAGCAGUUUUGCUCCCAGGCAACAAGGGCUGCUGCGGGAACAUCGUGGCGUCGUUGCCGCCCGCUUUUGGCGGUUGCGGCCCUCAGACGACUUUUUCCCAAGCAGCGAGGGCUGCGGGGGGACGCCGUGACGUCCUCGUCGCCCGCGGUCAGCGGUGGUGCCGAGGAAGUCACGGCAUCCCUGCCGCACCCCUCGGAAAAGGCUCUUCUGAGGGCGAGGGUUGCCGCGGCGUCCCCGCUACUUCCCUUUAUCAGGCACUUUGCAGGGACGGCGAGCCAGGAGUGUACCUCCGGCGAACGCUUCGGGCGCAAGACUGAACGAAAAGCUAAGUGCUAACACCUAAAUGGCAAACCCACUAAGAACUGAACAUAAUUGAACGCUGCUUCGCCAAGCGUGGCCCCAGAACCCGCGCGUGGUCGGAGUGUUAGAAGGACACUUGCGGGGGGAGUGCGCUCCUCGUGUGGCUUCCCGGGUCCGCCCCGGGAGGGCACGGCUUGAAGUAGUUACCCCGCAAGUGGAGUGGCUCCCCGCUACCGCUUGACCCCAGGUCGGCACUGCGGGUCCGUCCCAGGUCCCUGGUCUGGUCAAGGGUGAGGCGCGCGAGUCCCCCGCAACACAAGGCGAAACACGCAGAGGCUAAAGGAGCCACCCCGCGAGGCAACCCCGGGAACAAGGGACAAGAAUUAAGCAAAUUAAAGAGCUUGAUUAACUAAGUGUUGGAUGGUUACAUAAGCUAAUGGAAAAAUAAUUGUUCAAAUAGCGCCAAACGCCACACUUGCAGGAAAAAGCGAACGAAAGAAGAUACAUCGGAAAGCAGCAAGGACGGCUUGGGGCCACGGCAACUAGUUGCCGGCGUCUUCUCCCGGGGGCUCCAGGGACGGCUCGGGGUCCGGCUUCCGCUGCAUCCGCUCGACCACCUCGUCGACGAACCCGCGCACCGCCUGGGUGUGCAUGGGCUCGUCCUCGCUGUCCGACCAGGCGUCUAGCAGGGACUCGAAGGGAAACUCCGGGUCCCGGAGGUGUAUCCUCGGGAGGAUUGUCCCGGCAACCUGCCGGGCGCAGUUGGCGACCUUGUUACCUGCCGGGCGUAGUUGGCGACCUUGUUGGCGCCGAACUGGGCGAUCCAGAUGUCAAGAGCCCCAAGCUUCCCCACCAGGUCGGAGAAGAAGGGGAUCAAGGUGGAGACUUCCGUGCCGUCCACCGCCGCAGCCUGCAGCUCGAACCGGGGCAGCAAGUCGUGCAGCGCCUGGGCGAUCUUCAGCAGCUUCUCGAUCUCUAUAUGCCAUGGUUGAGCCGAGCAUCGUGCGCGGCCUUCUUGGCCUUGCGGAGGUUGUCCCCCAACGCCGCGAGCUCCGCGGUCUUGACCACGAUGUCGUCGCCAGCCUUGGCAAGCUCUUCCCGGACUGCGGCCAGCUCGGUUUCGAGCCUGCCCAUCCUGUCCUUGGCGGAGCCAAGCUGGAUCCCAUGCCGAGCCGCUGCUCCUACCGCGUCCUCGGUAGCCUUGAUCUGCACUGCCAGCUUGACGCUAAGGCCCUGAAUCUCGCCGCGAUAAUUAGCGAUCAGGUCGCUCUUCUCGUCCAGCCGGGCCUGGGCUGUUGCGAGCACCCCGGCGUGCUCCUUCUUGGUUGCCUCGAGGGCUGCCGCCAGCGAGUCUAGCGCCCCCUGAAGCUCCGUGCGCUGGGCCUCCAGCUGCCGGUGGAGUUCAGCCUCCGGGACGACCGGUUCCUCGGCGUCCUCUAGGGCUUGCCGGGCAAGGCGCGCAUCCUCCUUGGCGAGGCGCGUCUCCUCGCGCAGCCAGAAGAGCUCUUGCCGCUCCCUCUCCACGGCUUCCCGCACCUCGCCAAGCUGGCUCUUCGCGAUGGCGUGGUGCUCCCUCACCUCGUUGAAAGAGGUGACGAAGGCCUGCUGUUGGUCCCUGACGGCGUCCAGGAACCGGUGUCCUCGCUCGAAGACACUCGGAUCCCAGGUGAUGGGAUUCCAAGCCACCCCGGCAAGGGUGCCGAGGUCGGUGUUGUGAAGGGCAGCCGAGGACGACAAAGCCCCCGCUGCCAUUGUAGGGCUGUGCGUGGGGUCUCCUGCUUGCUCCAGGGGAUCCUGUCGUCCUUCCCCGGCAGCUUCCCCUUCCCACGCGCGCGGGGACCUCGGGGCUGGAGAAGCCUCCCUGCCCUCGGCAGGAGCCGUUCCCUGCUGGGUGGCAGGCGAAUCCACGCCAACCACAUCCGCAGCUACUAGCGCAUCAAGUGUCGUCCCAGUGGUGACGAUGGCCACCACUGCUGUUGUCGUCGGCAUGGCAGGGCUUGGUGCAGGAGCCGGUACCGGCUCCUCUGCCGCCCCCGUGAUCUCGACGUCAGGGUCAAGAUCAACCACGGUAGCGCCCGCUCCCUGUGCGGGCGCGCUCGUGCCUACAACAAUAAGGAGUGUGAGGAUCGACAAGUAGAAGAGCUAUCGGAAGCGGACAAGGGUGGCCGGGGCGGUUACCCUGCAAGGCAGAUGGACUUGCGAGGGAGGCUUCCCCUGCCUCACCUAUGCCGGCAGGAGCCUCCGAGAGGCUUGUCUCGGGCGAGCUGUCGCUUGCUGAAAAAGAAGGUACGUUUGUAUGGUUAACUAACAACUGAAAAAUGCAGCAAAGGUGGAGCAAAGGAGCCGUACCAGUUGCCGGCCCUGCCCCCGUUGGGGCUGGGUCGUCGGCGGGCGCAAUGACGGCACCACUAGCCCCUGUGUCAGUCGGGUCAGCGGCGCCGCAGGCGUCCGCGCAAACCCUCUUGUUCGGCGUGGCGGGCGGGGAGUCGCUCCUCCCCCUCUUGCUGACGCUCGCCGGCGAGUUGGUCCUCGGGGGGUUGCGCCGAAGCACGAAGCUCCGGAAGACCCCCCGAGCGGGCGGCACCGUAGGUGCCCGCUGGGUCGCCGCGACCCGGGGCGUCGCGGAAGUCUAUGGCGAAGCCGCCGCGGAAUUAGGGGCCGACCCAGGGGAGGCUGCCGACGCAUCCCCGGCUACUGUUGCUGCUGAAGCUAUUGCUGGGUCGCUGAUGGUCCCCGCCGAGGCAUCGGCAGGUGCCACCGGAGCAGCUGCCGCCACGGUGCUAGGGCGGAUGUCGCCGCCGUGGCUCCGGCGACCCCCGCGGACGUGUGCGUUGCCGAGGCACUGGGAGGCGCCCCUGAGGUGGCCGCCGCCACAGUGCUGGCGGCCGCGGCUGGGGCAGAUGCCGCCGCCGAGGCUCCAGCAACCCUUGCGGACGCGGUCGCCGCCGAAGUACCGACGAGCGCCCCUGAAGCGGCUGCCGCCGCGGGGCUGGCGGCCGCUACCGGGGCGGAUGACGCCGCUGAGGAGAUAGCCGCAGCCGUUGCAUACGCCCUUGAUCUCCGAACGAUCAGGGGCGCAUCGUCGCUGUCCUCAUCGUCGUCGUCCACAGGGACAACUUCCGGGGACGCUGCAGCCUAGCCCGCCUCGUCAUCCAGGGACUGGAGGGAGGGCCAGCUGAUCUCCGACUCGCCCCCACUUCCCGCGAGGUGCAGGCAGGGGAGCGCGGGGGAUCCGAGUGGGGGUGUCGUCCAUCAACCCCCACUCGUUGCAGGGCGGGAAGGCGGCGACAAUGUCGCUGAGCGCCGAAAUGCCGGCAUGGAGGGAAAAGACCCCCGGCGGGAACCUCGUCGAUUGGAAGGUACGCGCCACGUCCACAUCGGUGAGCCCUGCUAGCCGCAGCGCCUUGAUCUUCUCCACGAUGGGGAGGAGAUCGGCGUCGCGGUGGUACUUGUCCUGCCAGCCGCUGUGGGGUUGCGGCAGCUCCGUGGGCGAGAGGAUGAACUCUUGGGGAUCUUCCACUCGGACCCAGCACCAGUCGCCCCGCCACUCCUUCUCAAUCUUCUUCCCCGACCGGGUGAUGAAGUCAGACUUCAUCUGGUCACGGGUGCGGAACACCACCCCCGACGACAUCGCCUUCGCGUUGUCAAUCUGGGGGUAGAAAUAGUGGUGGUAGAGCGCCACUGAUGGCAUCACCCCCACGAACGCUUCGCAGAGGAAUUGGAAGCUGGCGAGAAGGAACAGCGAUGUGGGGUGGAGCUGCGCCACCUGCAGCUGGUACGACUCCAUCAGCGCGUGGAGGAACAGCGAGAAUGGCAGCACCACCCGGUGAGGAGGAAGCGCUCGAACACCCGGAAGUCAUUGUCCUGGUGCUCAGCGCCCGCCGGGAAGAUCAGGGUCUCCCCGUGCUCGUUGAACUUGGAGGCGAUGGCAUGCUGGACCUUGUCCAGCGCCUCGCCGUUGUAGCCAGGCCGGUAGAAGGCGAGCGUGGCCCGCAUCUCCCGCUUCCUCCGGUCUUUGUCGGCGGCUGCCUUGGUUGCCGCCUCGCUCCUGCUGGCCGCCGCUCUCUUCGAGACCUGCACCUCUUUUCCCUUCCUGGUGGUGGGGGGCGCCAUGGGGAACGGAGGUGGAAUCUAGCAAGAACACUUGGAUGCGAGAUGCGAAGGAGGGUGAAGGCGAAGGCUGUGGGGAGCAGAGUGUUUUCCCCUUUUGGCAACAGUAAAAGCUUUAUACCGCCCGGCCGUUUGGUAACGGCCGGUUCCGUACCCUACGGGUGCGCGGGGAUAACUCCUAAUCAAAAAGGGUAAUGCGGGGAGUGGUCUUAACUUCCCCUGUUUAAGGGGGAGGUACCGACGUGGAAAUCACGCGCCCACUACUCCGUCUGUAACGACGUGGUACUAGGGGCAGCGAAGGGAUGCGGGCCCUAGGCAGAUCGGGGCCCACGCGUCGGUUGUGGGCGCUACUGUCGCACCAGUGGCACCCGGGGUACCACCGUUGCACGAUGCGUGGGCUCCAUCUCCGAGUUCCCGGGAGGGUCUCAUCCCGGGCAGUAGCCACAGGCAGCCCGGCAAGCUACCAGCCUGGAGGGGCUAGCGGGGCUUCAGGGAAUAUUCCCGCCUGGACACCUCCCGGGAAGCCACUUGCCGGGAGGGGGUUCCCGGGCGUGUCAGGCCUGGGUGCCUCCCGGGAGCCACUUGCCGGGAGGAGUGGUUCCUGGGCGCAGGCUCCCUCCACAAGGGGGGGGCCCAGCGGGCAGAGCAACAGCGCCAUGUGGGCGCGUGACGGGCGUCGAGUGCGCAGUCUCGGCAGGGCGAGGAGUGAAGCGCACGGCGCAUUUAACGAGCCGACAGGAGGGAAGUUACCCAUCUAGUCGGGUAAAUAGUGGCUGUCCAGGGCUAGUUCUUAGGCCUUAGGCCCCCUUAGCUGAGGAGUUGGCACUCAUGCAUGCCACCAGCGCACCGAGGGGGAGUUGCCAUGUCUCCCUGCUCUCCACUUGUAAUGCAUGCACCGUGACACCUGUGGUAUCCCUUUGGUUAUAAAAGGAGGACCCCCGCGAAUGGUCAAAGGGUUGGUUCCACGAUCACGCAGUUUGACGGACUCCCAGUUCGCCACUAGCAGUAUCCGAAAGUAGCCAAGAGCACUUAGCCAAAAAGAGAGCACCCGGGGACUCUCCCCCCGACAACGUGUAAACCUUUGAUCUACUAUCAAUAGCAGUUCAGACAAGCAGGACGUAGGGUUUUACACCUCCGGGUGGCCCGAACCUGGGUAAAAAACGUGCAUGUAUGUGUCAUUAGCUUGCAUGUAUUCUGGGUACAUCACUUUGCAGGUUACGUACGCCAUCGGCCACGCCCUAUUUACUAAACAACAAACAACACAAUCCUCAUAUCACCCCCUCAACACCCUGUGAGGAAGCAAUCCAAAGGACACUCACACUUAAGCAGUUUAAGCAUAUCCAUGAUUAAGGCUAAAUUACUAUUCAAGUUUAUGAGAUUAAGUUGAUUAAAAUGAUUAAGUUCUCUAUGAUCAAGUAAUGACCAACCAAGUCGUCCAUAACCGCGGACACGACUUUCCAAAAGAUUUAUCCCUGCAGGGUGUGCCAAUUUACCCGUACACGUUUGUCCAACCCUUGUUGCCACUCGAGUAGGAACACACAAAGACGUGUGUCGGCAGGAUUGGGCGACACGACGUUUCCAAGCCUCACAACUAAUCCAAGGGACCACCCAACUGAGUCUAAUCCGAAACGAGAGCCCGGCCGAAGCGUUGUACGGACUCAAGAAUUGCGUGGACAGCUGGUAGUGGUUCAGUGUCCGCAGAAUGACCACUCCAGACUAGUGCCACAAUCCUAUAUGAAUGCAAAGUCACCAACAAAUCUCCACAAAUCUUUGUGUGCAUGCAAUGCAAAUGCCAAAUGGAACGCCCCAACUAGGUGGCCCCUGGAAGAGUUAUGAAACGAGUACUAAGCCGAGGGGGAACCCAUAUAUUCUCCCACGAGCGGUUAGCGCGAAGUUUCUUGGGUCGGCGAAAACGAGAACUCAGUCCUUAGGUCGGCGCCAAUGGAACAAAACACCAAUGCGUUAGCACGGCCUCCCAUCGUUGCCUUGUGCAAGUAAUAACAAGUCACAGUUUAAUAAUUACAAUUAAAUACAGAAUGUAGCACGUGGAUGUAGCAAUUGUAUAACCCCAAGUAAGGACACUAGACUAGCCAUCUAAGCAAGACUUCUAAUGACCAACUAGGGCAACAACAAACAUGUGACAUGGUAAUAGGACAAGUAACAAGACAUAGGGCAAUAAGUAGAGCUGACCAAUAAGCUAUGCAACCUAUAGGCAUCGUGACAAGACUGAGAUCGUAACUUAAUGCAAGAUUGAGGGAUAGGCGAUAGGUAUAAUCAACAUGGCCAAGGAAGGGCUGCUUGCCUGGAGUACUCAAUUGCCCCGAAUUGAGCAAGAAUCCUGAAAGAAGAACACAAGUGUAGUCGUCGUCGUAGGAAUCGCAGACUAGCGAGGAAGAAGCAAAUACACGACAUAAGAGGAAAAUAUAAGCAUACAAGAUACAGAUGAAAAUUUAAAUGCACAGUCAAAGGAUGAGGCAUGACAUAUUAACAGCAAGUGUGUAGAUGAUACACUAAUCAUAUUAAAUGGAUUGGAAUUCCUAAAGCAAUAGAAUUCCAACUCCAUAAGCAAGAGGUAAGGUGUUUUACACUAAACACUAGGUUACAGUUGCUCAAACAUGAAUGAGAAUGCCAUGAAGAGGUUCAGCAGGUCUUGGUGAUCGAAAUGCAUAUAAGGUUUGCCAAUUUUGGAAUUAGGAAACGACUUGUAUGAAUUAAACAAGUUUCAAAUGGAUUUAACCUACUGUUUAUACAGAUUUGAAGAUAUCAAGUUCAAAUUGCAGAACAGUUGGCAGAUUAAUAUUCCUUAUGUUUUUCUGACCGAAAAACAUAUAAAUUUUGCAUGAAAUGGAUGACAUAUGCAUGAGAUAUUAACUAAACAAGAUUAUGCAAUAUUCUGGAAUUUUAUUUGCAAAAACAAAACACAGGGAACUAAUCCUACUCGGGUGCAGCUAGCCCAUUAGGCUGACAGCGGGCCCGGGAAGUGAUGUGGCGCUGACGAGGCAGUGCCGGCGCCCGUGGUCACUGACCAUGGGGUCCCACCUGUCAGUUUUCGGCUAAAGAAGAAAAAGGUUGGGUUUUUUAAGGAUGGGGAUCGAACUCGGUUUGCUUGAAUCUGAUUAACGGACGAGGGAGCUAGCCAGUUGGUACAGUUAACGGAUCAUGCUAGAAAGAAGGUGCACAGCGAUUUAAACAAAGAGAAAGGCAGAGCCUUGGCGACACACGACGGCCAUGGCGUUGCGACACAGAGGCGGCGGAGGGCAGACUAGCUGCGGAAGAGCAGCGGCGCGCGGAGAGGAUCUAGUUGACGUGAAGGUCAACACAGGGCCCUUAGAGGAGCACGCGCGCGACGGCGAACAGCGGCAGAACGCGUGCACGUGGCUAUGAGGCUACGGAGCACCAAAUCGCGCACGGAAAGAAGCAGAAGGAAGAGGAGCUCACCACGAAACUGUAGGAGGAAGCUGAUGAGGUUUCGGUGGACAACUCGCCGGAAUUUUGCCAGAGAAGCGACGGUGGCUGAAGUCGGGGAAGAGGAGCUAGGCGUCGACGUAGGCGAUCCAGGUUCAAUUCCUCGCGCGUGUGCGUAGAGAACGACGAGGCGCAGCUUGUGACGCGCGAGGUUCGUCACGGUUCAGUCGGAGACGGUGGCUCGACGCGGCGGCGCCCACGGCACGGGAAGAAGGCGACGGCGGCGUGCAGAAAGGGAGGGAGGAGAGCCCACCUAGGGUAUCUCCUUGAGCUAGGGUUGAGAGGAGGCCGCGGCGGCGCUUAAAUAGGGGCGUGGAUGCUCCUGUCGCUGUCGACGUCGACGUGGUGCGAGGGGGCUCCAUCGGUCGGGAGGACGAAAGCAGAGGAGGACGACGAUGCUGUGAGAGGUGGCGCCUUCGGGAGAAAUGUGCUUUCGCUGCGGGGAAACGGAACGCAGGCGAGCGCGGGUGAAGAUGGGUUGCAGGGCGGCGUUGCGGGGCGGCGGGGCGGCGUUGCGGGGCUGCGGGCACUGCUGAGCCGAGUUGGCUGCGGGGCGCACGGGAGACGGGGCUUAGGCGGCUGGGCCGACUCGGGCCUGAGGUAGGAAGGUGAGUUUUCUUUUAUUUUUCCUUUUUCUGUUUUCUCUUUUGCAAAUAGUUUUCUGAUUCAAAUUUCAAAUAACAUUUUGAAAAGCUGAGAAGUAGGAGAAUUCAACUAUGGCACUAAUAUUUGGAAGUAUUCAAAUGGGAUUAAAGGUUUAAAACAAAACCCAUUUUUAUACCAUUUGUAAAAUAUAGGAAAACGAUUUUAAAACCCAAAGAGAAGGAAGGAAGAUUCAUAUUUGAAUCUUCUAGCAAAUUCUAACAACAAUAAUUCAAACAACAAGUUGAAUUGUAAAUUUCAAAUUUAUGGGAAGCAAAAGUAGAUAUUACAUGGCAUGGAUGCAAAUGUAAAUGUCAUGCAACAUUAAUUAAAUUACAAACAGGUCCAACAAGGGCUUAAAUGGAAAAGGGUUGCUCUCGGGCUGUUACACAAGCCGAGCAUUAAAUGCUCCGACAGGGAGGAGGUUACCCGUCUAGUCAACCUACAGUGAGUAGCUUGCAAUGAGUAGCCCGCAGUGAAUCUAGGGCACGUGUGGCCCUAGCUACAGUGCUUCUCACUAUGCAUGCAUGCCAGCGCAGCGAAGGCAGCUGCCUUGGGUCUCUGUUUGACGCGUGUCCGGGGGCGCGUCCCCCAUGCAGACUGUAGCACCUGUGGUAUCCCUUGAGUAUAAAAGGAGGACCCGCGCCACCGGUCAAGGGGUGCCGAUUUCCGAAGGUUAGACUCGAGCAUAGAUUGCAAUCCCUAGAGAUUUAGUUCAGAAGUAGCAAGUAGUCACUUAGCAGAAAGGGAAGAGAGCACUCGGGGGCUCCCCGGCAACCUUGUAAACGCUUGUUCAUUGGCUAAUAAACACUCAGAAGCAGGACGUAAGGUUUUACACCUCCGGGUGGCCCAAACCUGGGUAAACCGACUUGUGCAUUGCAGCGCCCGUCAUUGGCCUCGCCGGCGAUCGCCGAAGCGAUCUCCAACGCCCACUGCCGAACCAAAAAGGGGGUUCCUCGCAUCCCCGGUGUCUAAGCCCCGAGCUACGACACUGCCAUUGUGAGGCGCGCGGGAGUGGCAGUGCGGAAGAAGGGGGGGGGGGGGUGGGAAUGAAAUGGUGGCGGUCGCAGAAAGGAGGGCUAGGGGUAUAUCGAGGGCGGACGAGCGGAGCUCCGUUUUGACACAGAUCCGGCCCAUAUUUGGGUUGGAAAUGGGUCGCGUCAGACCAAAAAGCAGAUGUGGACGGAAAUGCGUCGCCCCGCUGGACCGUACUUUUUUCCGUUCACACCGAAACGGACCGGUCCGGCCCAAAUGGGUUGCCCUGCUGGAGUUGGCCUUAUGAUACGAAGGCUAUCAAACGCCGUUUGCAACCCAUUUGUAAACAUUUCAUGGGCAUGGUAUGUAGUCACAUGACACAUCGACUUGUUGCAUGCCCUCCUUGCAUUGCCCAGUAGCAGUUUUGGAAUUUCUACUUCAUGGCCUUUGGGCUGAUCACCGCAAACACCACAGCUUAUGCCAUUGGAGACACAAAAAGGUACUUGCAGUUACUAGCAUGAACCCCAAACGCCAAGAGGCGUGCAUUUCCAUCUCCGGCUGGAUGCUAUUGUCCCUGGCGUUUCAAUGCAAAUGUGUGGCGUUUGCAAAAAGUUAGUUCCGGCUAAAUUUUCAAACGUGAGUCAUUUCGGUAAACUUAAAAAGAGAGAGUCAAUUUUAUCAUUCUGGACGGCCACGUCUGGUAGUUUGUGCUGCAGUGAUCAAUGUGCCGUCACAUAAGCAGUUUUAGGAAUUUGUUCAGAUUACUGAAAAUCUAACAAUUGAUCAGGCCCAUGACAUCUGGUCAUAUGAGUAGUCUAAAAAUGGCUACAGCAGUGCCAAGGCAUACCUACAUCUUAUGGACCACAUUGAGAUCCCUAACACCAUCACCUAGAUUUGGGACUCAACAUCCCAACUCAAGCAUAAAGUCUUUUGUUGUCUCAUGAUCAUUGAUAGACUCAACACUAGAGCUAUGUUGCUUAAGAAAAACUUCCACCUGUAAUCAUACUCAUGUGUUAAGUCUGCAUCUGGAGACUAGGGACCAUCUCUUCUUCAGCUCCCAUUUGCUCUGGCCUGCUGAAAAUACAUAUGCCCUGCUUUCAAGCCCCAGGCAAAUGUUCAUAGGAACUUCAAACACAUCAAGCAGCUUCUGAAUGUUCCUUUUCACAUGGAGAUCACCCACACUAGAUUGUUGGAGUAUCCGGAGAACUCGCAGUGAAUUAUUAUUCAAUGGUCUCCAUCCAUGUUUAUACAGAUGCAGAAGGAUCUUCACGGAAGAACUCAACUUGGUCUUCCAUCACGCCAAGAGAAAGAUCUCUCUGAAUUUGACCAUUUGGAUUUAGACAUUUAGAUAGUUUUUGGUUAACUUUUUUGUUAGCCUUUUCAUAUUUGUACAUUUCUUUCGACAAGGGGAAACUCCCGGGCCUCUGCAUCAAGUGAUGCACACAACCAUUUUUAUUGCAAAGUUGUAGCGAGUCAUACAAUUUAGCGAUCGGAGAUCGUCGAUACAAAGAUAAGCCAGCGAAAAAAACCAAACAUAGAGAGUCUAUGCAUUAAGUCGUCUAGUAAACCGCCAUCCAGCCCGGUUGAAGAUAUCCCGUGAGACCAUCUCCAGAUGGGUGCAUUCAAUAUCCAAUGGUUCCCGCUGGUGCGAUGGGAGCAGAAAAGCCCAUACCCGAAUCCACUGCGUGGUUUUGUAGAUAAACAUGUUAAGAGCUGCUUUCAACACAGAUGAUGGAUUUUUUACUGGACUUGACACAUUAGGUAGUGUAUAUAUGCAAAUAGCCUCACUUCAUCCUCUCUUAGAUCAAGAUGCUGCAACAGUAUUGAACGAUUUUAAUCUAAACAAUUUUUAUCCUUGCAAAUGCAGAACCAAUUGUACAGUAUUGAACCUUUGCAGACGCAAAAUGAAAGCAAAGAAGAUUUACCUAAUAUACAUAUACAUCGUGUGGAAUUCAGCCUGCUAAAAACUUCAUAAAUCCCAAUUCCCACGGUCCACGUCCUGCGUAAUAAUUGCUUAGUAUAGUUGCUCUACAGAACAUGUAAUCAAGGGGAAAGGAACAAAUGGAAGCAUACAAAAGACCUUAUAUGAUGGAUGAUAUUUGGGAGUAUUAGUGGUUUCAAAAAAUUAGGCAACGCAUUUUAGUAUAGCCUUUAUAAAAGUAUCAAUAGAAUAUGUCUAUUCAAUUCAAAGCUAUUACCAUGUUGUACAUUGUUCGAUCACCAUUGAAAAUAAAUAAAAUUAGAUGAUAUAAUAACCAAAAAUUGCUUGCGUAAAUGAUGAAUGGCUCAUUAAUUCAACAUAACAUAAGUCUUCAGGAUAUUUGUGGCAACAUGUGAACUAAUGUCACCGCUCCCUGUCUACGCUUCAGUCUAUACUAAAUGUCCAAAUUAGCGUCCUUAUAAAAAAAAGUCCAAAUCAGUGAAAGAUUAGAAAGUAGAAAACUUUUGAUAUGCUAGCGAAACCAAUUAAUGACAAACUUUAAAAGAUACUCCGUCCGAUCCAUAAUAAGUGUCAUUGAUUUAGUACAAUUUUGUAAGUGUAGUUGAUUUAGUACAAAGUUGUACUAAAAUUGUACUAAAUCAACGACACUUAUUAUGGAUCAGAGAGAGUAAUAUUCAUGGAAGUAAGAACUUGUAAAUAGCACAUAUUUCACGACAACACAACGUCCAAAACAUAAAAAACUAUAUAGUAUGAAGCUGCAAAAGCCUUAGAAUUGCUCCUGGAGAUGCAUCAAUCAGAAUAUGCUUACAUGAAAAGCAAAAAAUUAAAUGGAAAUGAUAGGACAUGACUGCAUAGUUCUCUUACCCUGAGACUUCUGUCUAAAUUUUUGCAACUCCCAAAUAAGAGCAUACCUUUGUUGUAUGGAACUUUUAGAUUCCUUCAAUGAAAAAACUUUUAGAUUCAUGACCUCUGAAUGCCGGCUCAUCAAUGUCCUUAUUUUCAAAUUUUGUUGCUAGCGUGCUAGUCAUGUGGUAGUGAAUGAGGAAUUCACCAGCUAAAAUGAUGAGCAUGAAGAAAAAUAUAUUAGCAUCAAUUUUUAAACAUAGGUACCAGAGAUGUGAGAAUAGAUAGGCAAACACUACCUGACACUCUUUAAAUCAGAUGGCAAAAUUGACAGUAGCAAGCAAGGACAAUCAACAACUUUCCUAGAAGGAUUCAUUGGUAUAGGCAGUAACAUCUCUUCACUCUAAAUAAUGCAAAAUUUGCAAGGAAAAGAGUUGCAAUGUUGAUGAACAAUCACCUGAUAGAAAUUCUUUCACCGUGGCCAUGGCAGAUGUAUAUCACCUGGUAAAUAAUUCUCUUCAUACUAUCCUUUCAGCUCACACUGACCUGAACCUGAAGCAAAAUAACUGCUAGGAAAAGAAAAUGAAUUACUAUACCCCCUAUCUUAUAACAUUCAACUGCACUUUUAAUUAAUCUUAACAUUGUUCAAAUGGUUUGCUAUGGAAAACCGAAUUAAACUAAUAAAACACCAUGAUACAUGUUAGCGCAUACAAAUAUAGCAAGGUAAGAAGAUAUCAAAUCAAUUAAUGGUCAAUAACUUGUUAUCUGCUGCAGGCUUUCUCAUCCAUAUAUGACCCCUACUUUGUGUGUACUGAAUAUAUAAUGUCAAAUUCAAGGUUCUGAGAUUAUCUGGUGAAUUGAACAAAUUAUCAAAGGGAAUUCUAGGCCUAUUAAAACUUUAUAGUUUUAGGGAACUAAUGAAGAAACAUACCUCACAAUGAAAUACCGCCAUGAAAAUUGACGUGGUUCCAUUAUGAACCAUCCCACAAUUUGCAUGAGAAUUUCAAUAACUUGAGAGUAAAAUUCCAAUUACUUAAGAGAGGGAGACAGUCCCAAUUCCCAAUCUGCAUGAGAUCCAAUUAUAAUAGAGGAAUUCCAAUUCUCAAUCUUAAUGAGAAAUUCCAAAUACUUUUGUCUCAAUUCCCAACGUCUCUCAAGCAAAAUCCAGAAGCUUCUGAGGGUGUCAUAUCACCACAGAACCAUAACCUGAGAUUACAAAUUUUGUAAAACGAUAAAUCACCUUAGCACAUAGAGAAAGAUACAGUGAGAGGGAGAAAACUGUGUGAGGUUAAUGUAUAAGCUCGAAUCAGUUAUACAACAAAUAUGCAUAAACAUAGAACUGAUAUUCGAGGAAAAAACAUUCAUCUCCUUGAUUCUAAAAGACAGUGGUCAGAUCAGGCCGCGUGUGGCGGGGCCUCCGCAUCAACAUAUUCAACUCCAGUUAAAAGCCUGCGCCUGGGCGACUGCUUCGCCGCGCUGGGCGCAGCACUGGCCACCGUGGUGGAGAUGACGCUUGGGACUCCUGAAUCGCCUGUGCACUUUUACGACGUGAGCCUUUGUGGACGGCUUCAGCCGGUGUCCAUGGCGCCCAUGAGCCCUUGUGGUGAGGGUGUAGCAUGGCAGCUUGCGAGGUUGUGCUGCCCGUGGGCGUUGGAGGUUGGGGACAGGGAAGGGAAGGAGGUCGGUUGAAGGAGGAAAAAGGAAUGGCGGAGGAAGGUGAAGGGGAAUGAACAUGGGAACUUCGGCCAGGAGAAACGUCGGGAGGAAAGACGAUAGAAGUGGGCUGGCUGCUCUGGACGAUGGGCUGCACGCGGUGGGCUGGAUGUGAUGGGCCAACUUAUGAGAUGGAAUAAAUUUAUAAAUUAUAAAGGGAAUUAAAUGAAAAUUAGAAAUAGAAAUUAAAUGAAAUGCUGAUGUGGAUAGACUGCAUGUGCAGUUUGCUAAAUUAACUGCAUUUAGUGGGCUUCAACUUUAUAGAGUUUAUAGAUUUGGUUCACUCUGCUAAAACUUAACGGAUACUGCGUGCUAGUAUAGCAACAAAAUUAACCGGCGUAUGUUUGGUUCUACCUGGGUUUUGCACGUCGCGAACAAAAAUUUCGUGAAAAUUUUCAAGUUCCUAAGCUUGAACGAACAUGGACUAAGAAGAAGAAAUAAAUAGAAAGAAAAUAUAGAUAAGGCCCAAGAAUCAUUGGCAUUUGGACCACCUUCGUGUGUUAGAACGUCAUAAUAUUUUAAGCCGUUGAUCAGUGGGUAUCAAAUUUGUAUACGUCCAUCGAUCCUCAGUUAGGCUGUAUGAAAAAAAAUACUUUUUCCGUCCAACAAAAGAUGUCUCAAUUUUUAUUAAAUUUGAAUGCAUUUAUACACUAAGUCAUGUCUAAAUGUAAUACACAUUUUUUUUAAUUGACGGAGGAAGUGCUGCGGCGGGACCGUAAUUUUCAGGGGUAGAAAAACGAGGCACGACCAAACUUGCACUCCAAGAUGGGAUGCUAUGGCUAUAAGUACAGCAUCACCAUUCACCGGUACAAGAUAACUACUCGUAGGAGUAUUUCAUAAUUUUUUAAGCGGGCAACAGCCAAGCUAGCUCUCCGACCAACUCUGCGAAACCAGCUCCAGCGGCUGCUGCUUCAGGCCUUCAGCUAGCGAUGGAAGGCGGCGGGGGGAAAACAUGGCGAUUCGCGUCCCCGAACACGACCUUGGCGGCCGCCGGCGAGAUGAGCCUCCUAAAGUGCCUCCUCCAGCUGCAUGCCUGCUUGGACGAGCAUGGCCCGCGGCCCGUGAUCCCGCUGAGCCACGGCGACCCCUCCUCCGCCCCGUCCUUCCGCACCGCGCCCGAGGCGGAGGAAGCCGUCGUCGCGGCCCUGCGCUCCGGCGAGUUCAACGGAUACCCCUCCCCGGCCACUAAUCUCCUCGCUCGACGGUCGGUGCUCGAUUGCCUUUUUUUUAACUCUUUUUAAUUGACUGAACUGCAAAGUGACUGUUGUUGUUAGGUCCUAAGAUCCUUUUGUGGGUUAACGCUUGCUAUCAAUCACAUAGUAUACAAGUUGUUCUACGGAUUUCACACAGUUCUCGCCAGGCUAAUUUUGUUCCCUGAAUUUGAUUCAGUUUCAUCAUUUGGUUUGUUCGUAAAAUUAGAUUCAAUCAAACUUUUGUGAUUCAGAACUUCACAUCAUUCUUUAUUGAUCCCAAUGAAGGGGACUAGCACCCCCACAAAGUUCUUAGAAACAGAAGAUAGCCCCCACCUUUCCUUGGCCACUUGUGCCAAUGAAACAAAUUUGCUGGAAGUGGGGCUGCAAAGUCUUGGGAUUGGCUGGAUAAAGGAGAACUACCGAUCCAGUUAUUGUUGCGGAAACUGCUGUUCUCUCCAUUGGCCACUUUUUCCUUACAGACGACUUACAAUAUUUUGUGAGCAACCAUCGAUGCUGCCGAAAUAGGGAGGACCAUAUUUUAUGGAAAUCUGAGAAAGUGUGUUUAUGCAAAUACUUGCUUCGAAAUACUCCCUCCAUUCCAUAAUUCUUGUCGAAAUAUUACACGUAUCUAGAUGCCUUUUAGGAAUAGAUACAUCCAUUUUUGAACAAAUUUGAGACAAGAAUUAUGGAAUGGAGGUAGUACUUAUUACCACAAACCAUUUGUUGUUUCUAGAUUCUGCCCAAAAUGUUUGUAUUCAUAGUUUCCAAAUCCAUAACACUUAAGCCCACUUGAACCUUAGGAAUACAAAUGGUGCCCCAACUAUCUAAAUGAUACUUCUAAAACCUAGCCUAAUGCUUAGCUGGGUUUUCUUUUCACCUUGUCUUCAGUAUUUUUCACCUCUUUCUGCAUUAAGACCCUGGCGCAAAACAAAUAGAUAUCGGUAUUAAGCGAGGAUAUAAGAAGGCAAAUUGCUGACAAGAGUGUUUUUUUUUACCUCGUCUUCAGUAUUUUUCCUAUCUACUUGGAACAUGUUGAAAAUUAGUCAUUAUUCAGUAACCACCAAGAGUCUUUCCUCACAGUACGAUGAUUCUAAGAAAAUGUUUCAUCUGUGAUGUUUGAGUAACAUGUUCCUGAUGUGUUGCUUUUAUUGACACUUUUUGUUGAAAUCCAGAGCUGUCGCUGAGUACGUAUCCCGUGAUCUCCCUUACAAGCUUGCCCAUGAUGAUAUUUUGCUCACUUGUGGAGGUACCCAAGCAAUCGAGACUGUGAUGUCUGUUUUUGGCCAACCAGAUGUCAAUAUAUUGCUUCCGAGACCUGGCUACCCAAAGCAUGAAGCACAUGCAAUGUUUCAUAGGAUGGAGAUAAGGCAUUAUGAUCUUGUCCCUGAGAGAGGAUGGGAGGUUGAUUUGGAAGCUGUUGAAGCUCUUGCCGAUGAGAACACUGUUGCAAUUGUGGUUACUAACCCGAACAACCCUUGUGGUAGUGUGUAUUCCUACGAACAUUUGGCCAAGGUUAGUCUAGCACAUGCACAAUGAUAUAUAAUGUAUCUUUUCUUUGCAACAGAGCUUAACUCAUACUUGCGUGUUAAAUUAGAUUGCAGAUAUAGCAAGCAAACUCGGUAUUUUAGUCAUUGCUGAUGAAGUAUAUGGUCACCUUGUCUAUGGUAGCACAUCUUUUGUGCCAAUGGGUGUUUUUGGAGAGACUGUUCCUAUACUCACUCUGGGGGCUAUAUCAAAGAGAUGGGCUGUACCUGGCUGGAGGCUUGGAUGGAUAGCAACUUGUGACCCUAAAGGCAUUCUGAGGAAAACUAAGGUGAUUUUUGCUAAAGAUAUUUAAGUGCACCUGUUCUUUUUUCUUGCAGACGAAGAGAAUCAUUUUAAGGGUCUUUUGGAGUGCAUUUAGCAAUUUGGUUCACUUCAGGUUGUUUAUAGUUGCCGCAUAUUUGUAUUAUUCUCAUUGAUUCCUAAGGAUCAAGUGGACUUAGGUGUUAAAGAUUUGGAAAGUAUGAAUAUCAGUUAGCUUGUUCUGCAUCUUCUUUCCAUCUAGAAGUUCCCACGAGAAUGAGUUGCUUCCACAACUUUAACUUUAAUGUGUCAGUCAUAUUCAAUUCUGCAGAUGCAUUAGGCUGCAGAUAUGUUAUAGCAACUUGUUAGUUCUUCAAAUGAUUUUACUCUGUGGAGUUGCUUCCACUGCAGAAGUGUCAAUGUAAAACUUGACAUGCUAAGAGUAUCAUGGUGGAGGAGGUUCAUGCUUUUAUCUCACAUGCUAUGUAUGAUGUACUAUGGUAAAUAACACAUAGAUCCUUUACUUAAUUGUUUUGCCGAGUCCUAUAUGUGUUCUCUAUGUGUGCUUUCGAUACUUGAUACUUUUUGGCAUAAAUAAUACCAGGAAGUUAACCAUUUUGGAGUACUGCAUAUACUCAUUUUUAUAUUAUCUUUUGUGCUGAUUAUUGAAUUAGUAUUCUACGUGCUAUAUUGUUGGUUUCAAGUUAACCAAUAACUUUAUUCAGUCUUUGAUAUUUAUUGAAUUUCCCCUGAUGUCAUUAGGUUCAAGAUUCACUCAGAAGCUUCGUACAUCUAGUAUCAGAUCCUCCAACAUUUCUUCUGGUUAGUCAGUAGCAUUAUGUGAAUCACUUGAUCACCUUUAUAUUUUAUAUGUAGGUAGUUGGCCAGGUAUUUUGCAACAUUUGUCCCACAACAUUUGUUCUGCUUCCAUUUCCCUACUUGGCAUUGUAUUCGAUGUAAAUGUCACAUCUUGCAUGGACAAAAAAAAAUUACACAUAUUAGACAGCAAGAGUUGCAUGCAUGUACUUCCUAUUAAUAUUUCAGUAAACCACACAUACUGACAUACAUUGGUACCUGUUUUAUGAGACAAAAUCUAAGAAGUGAUACUUAACAUCCAGCAGCCAAAAAUUUUGAUAGUUGAUAAAAUGUGUACGUUGCAAGGUCAAAGCAACAAGUAUUUAUUUAGAGCAUAUGUCUCGUAUGACUGCACACCUCACAAAACUACACUUGUUUUAGAGUAAAAUACACCACUAGUCCAUGAACUCGAUAGAAAUGAACACUUUAGUCCACGAACUCGAAAAGCGCACACUUAAACUCCUAAACUGGAACAACUGUGUCACUUUAGUCCAAAAAAGGAUCGGUGAGGCUUAAACACACCACGUGGGCACCACGCUGGCUUCAGCGACCCUUCACCAGCGUCCUCUCGUCAAAAUUGAGUGUUGUGGGCUUGAUAGCAACCUUAGGCGAGGCAGUGGCAGCAACGGCGUGGUUCUCAGGGCCCCAGGAUCCCCGUCUGGCGCGGCCGCGCCUUGUCCCUCGCGGGCGGCUCGGGCAUGGUGAUUUUGCAAAAAAUAAAAUGUCCUAAGAAAAUCGAGUAAAUCGAGUAGUACCCCGCGGUCCUGGCCGAAGCCGACGUGACGAACACGUGGCGUGUUUAAGCCUCGCCGAACCGUUUUUGGACUAAAGUGACACAACAGUCCCAGUUUAGGGGUUUAAGUGUGCGUUUUCCGAGUUCGUGGACUAAAUUGUUCAUUUUUGUCGAAUUCAUGGACUAGUGGUGUAUUUUACUCCUUGUUUUAUUAUAAUGGAGGGCAUCCCACAUGUCGGGUACACCGAUGGGUUCCAACUAACGGGAUUCAGUGGAUGUGUGGUUGACUGAAACCUUAUGCUAAACUAUGUGCAGUUCUGUUAAAUCCAAUCCAAACUAAGAUGCAUAAUUUUCUGAUGGUUAUACCAAAAUAUGUUUAGUUAUGUGAAAUUUGCUCAUCUCCAAUUCCUUAUUUACACACUACAAGGAAAUGAUAUCUUUUUUUAUUUGAUAUGGAUCGAGUAAUAAAUUAUAUGAAUCGGUUAUUCACUCUGGAUUUGUCAUGUGGUGCAUCUUCAUAGGCGUAUGGUAAAGUCAGCUGAGCCAAGGUAGGGAUGGUGGAUAGGAAGACAGGAAGUUGAGUCAGUCCAGAGUCAUAUUCGAAAUUAGAAGUCAUGCUCUAUUCGAAAUUAUUCUAUUGCAGACUGAUCAUUAGCUUAAGGAAGUAUUCUCCUGCAAGUUGCUGUGAACCCUUUUUUUCUUCAAGUUUUCAGUAUUCAAUUUGGUGCAUAUUAUCCCAGCAUUUUUGUUCUAGAUGGCUGAACAUCUAAUUGCCUAGUCCAUUCACCAGGGAGCUAUUCCUCAUAUUAUGAAGAAUACAAAUGACGAAUUCUUCAGCAAUAUUGUCAACCUGUUGAAGGAGACUGCAGAGAUAUGUUAUGGUGAAAUUAAGGAAAUCAAGUGCAUUACCUGUCCCCACAAACCAGAGGGGUCAUUUUUUAUGAUGGUAAGGCAGACACAGAGCGCGUUGUUUGCAAUUUUACAUUGCUCGAAGUUGAAAGGAGAUUGGUAACACUAUGUUGAUCCGCAGGUAAAACUGGAUGUGUCACAAUUGUCAGGCAUAUCUGACGACGAAGACUUCUGCAGCAAGUUGGCAAAGGAGGAAUCAGUCAUACUAUUGCCUGGUAUGUGCUAAGCAGAACAGACUUAAUUGCUGUUUACGUUGAGAGUUGUUCUAACUGCCAUUUGCAGGGAAAGCCUUGGGCAUGGAAAACUGGAUCCGCAUCACCUUUGCUACGGAGCCAACAACACUGAAGCAAGGACUCGAAAGGGUCAAGGCCUUUUGCCGGAGGAACGAGUCACAGGCCAACUAGCGUUCAGGAGUAUCCUGCAUUUCAUUCCUCAAUGCCUGUUGGGGUUUCUGUAAUGGCUUACACGUCAUUUCCAAUAAAUAGUGUAGGGAUAAAUAAUGCAGCAUGUAGAGAUCAUGUCAUGAUUUCUCUUGCUCCCUUCUUUUUUAUCGCUUACUAUAGACAAAUCCCCGUGAAUACCAAGUUAUAUGACUGCCUUUAUCAAGAGAAAUUUGGCCAAGGAAAUACCUCUUAAAUUUGAAUACUGCCUCCGUCCAACAAAAGAUGUCAAAUUUGUCAAAAAUUGGAUGGAUCUAGACAUGAUUUAGUAUAUAGAUAUAUUCAAAUUUAAUUAAAGUUGAGACAUCCUUUAUUGGAAGGAGGAAGUAUUAAAAUUGUACGUGCGCGGUGGGUGGGUGUAGAUGUGAGGGGCGUUUGGGAGUAGUGACCUAAGAUGUCUGAUCUGAAAUCAUGGUUUCAUUAAAUGCCCGCGAUUGUUCCUUAACCUUGUUACAAACUCGUGAACAUCUGUGUACUGGUCAAAAAAAAAACUCGUGAACAUCUGUCUUGCGGAGCUAUGCUCGGCCGAUCCGACAGCGGUAGGGAAUUACACCAGGGAGCUAGGAUAGGUCAGUUCGAUUCGAUGUGGCUUGAUGAAAGAUGGGCUGAUGCCUGAAUCCUGAUGGCAGGGGUGUAGCUAGCCAAUGAAUUUUGCCAAUUUAGGACAGUAAAACAGAGCACUCUUCGAGCCCUCUCAAGUCAUUUAAGUUCGUGCAUCUUUCGAUCUGACCCCGUCGUCCGAUCCUGUCCGUAGGGCGGGUGCUCCCAUAGAAAAAUGGAACUAACCUGGUUUACUGGACCGCCCAUGGACAAACGUCAUCCAGGCUCCAACCCAGCAGCACCAACUGAUCGUCUUCCCUUGUGCGCCGCCACCGACCUACCUGGCUCCCUCCCGCCGCGCGACGGACGGCGGGCUGCCCUCUCACCGUUCUCGGCGACAAGGAUCGAGUUGGGCUGUUGUUAGAGCGCCUCCGUACGUGCCGUUGUCGUGUGCCGCCCUCUAAGUUGGAGGAGACGGCAGCCUGUAUAGGGAGCUUCUAUGGGAUGAGACAAUGCAGCGGCUCAAGGAGACAGACAAGGUAUCCCGUGUACAUGCACUCAUGAGACGAGUACAUCGUAUAAUACAUCACGUGUAUAUCACGAAAAAAAUCACAGUAUGAGUAUCUAUCAAAAUUUGGUAUCUCUUAUGAGACGAGUACAUCGUAUGCUACAUGACAUGUACUUUAACAGUUUUUAAGUAACUUGUCAUAUCAAGUUUGUGUAGUUCAACUCAUAGCAAUACAUUUUGUACCACGACAAAAUCAGGCAAAAACAUAAUCAAAAAUUAGUCCUCGUCAUGUACCGGUGCAAUAAAAAAUCAUAGCACAAACAAUCAAAUAAGAAACCACAAGACGGCGGCCUGCAGGGGCCGAGACGGUGGCGCGGGAGUGGCGGCGGAGGCCGAACCCAGGACGGCCCCGCGGUGGCGGCUGCGGAGGCAACUUACUCGAUUUCUUCCCCUUCGCAAAGCCUCUCCAGAUCUCGAGCCUCCAUGGCCAGCUAUGAGCCCAAGAAGAGUAUUAGCAGCAGCAAUACGUGCAGUACCAAAAUCAUGAAGACUAGGGUCUCAAUCGAUGGGGGGAAGGGAGGAAUGGAGUCAGAUUUGAAGAGGGAUUUAGGAUCCAGUAGCAACACCAUCAAUCCUUGGCAGCAUUUCCACGGGAGAGGACGAGCUGGGCAUGGCAGAGAAGGGGGACGAGCUGGGCAAGGCAGGGGGAGAAGAAUGGCAGGAGAGAGAGGGGCUGUCUUGCCAAAAUUUGUCAUAUUUUGGCAUUUGUUUGGUUAGUAGCCAACAAUUUGGUUGUCAAAGAAAUUUUGCCAACUUCUUCGUAUCCCUCUUCACAAAACUUGCCAACCUUAGCCAACCAUGGGCAACAAAUCCUUAGCCAAUUAUUUGGAUAGCCAAUAGUUGGCAAAAAUUGGUAGGACACAAAUAGUCAAAGAACCAAACAGCUUAAGAGAGGCCGAGGAAGGAGAGAAAGAGACGGGAAAUGAGAGAAAUAAAGCUGGGCUGCGGUUAGGUCACAGAGAGAUUACAGAGGCUGGCAGAGAUUAAGAAAGGAGAGAGGACACGUGGUUGGUAGCCAUGGUGGGUGUAGAUACCACCACGGGCAUCUGGAGGUUUGGCAUCAUGUUCGGCAAAUUUGUAAGUGACCGCAACCGCGGACUCAAAGUUUUCACUAUCCGCCCCACCCGCGCUUGAUCUGAUACGAUCCUGUUUUGUUUUGUGCAGUGUUUCGACAAGUCGGUCGUGCUCAAUGGCCUCAUCGGCCACCCCGUGUUGCCAAGCGCUUCGGGUUUAGCUCGAUGUCUUCUGCUUUAAUCAUUCAUUUCUGUGAGUGGUGGUUGGUGUAGUUCAGUCGAUGGGGGAAAAUGGGGCGAUGCGGGCGCCAUAGUUUGUCGACCCGCUAGCACAUUUCACCUGCUAGUUUAAAGAGCCCUUGUAAUCUUUGCUUCGUAGGUCAAUCACAUCAACAUGAGCUGAGAUCCUACAGUCAUCCUACCAUUAUAUAUUGCUGAUAUAUGAUUGACAUAUAUAUAUGCACAUUAGAUAUUUUAGUAAUGGUAAGAAUCUUAUAUGAUUGUUGUCAUUUAUAAAUCUCUUAUCCAAUAAUGUCGGGAGGAGUCGGGACUCGUGAAAAAGAAGAUGAACUCAAAGUAUGUGCCACAAUUCAUUAGCAUGUUAGCACUCACUAGCCACAGUUCCGAACUUGGGUCAUGCUCAUUAUUAGAAUGCCAUUUUCUGCGAACUAAGCCUAACUCAGGUGGUUGGUUCUUUGUGGUGGAACCAGCCCGGUGACUUCGUCAAUCUCAAGUUGAUCUGUCGUGCCCCAGUCUUUCGAAGGUGCUUAUAGGGGUAGGGUGUGCAUGCGUGCGUUCACAGGGGUGAGUGUACGUGUGUGUGUGAGUGCUUGCGUCUGUGUACUAUGUUUCCUAAAAAAAAAGAAUGCCAUUUUCUAUUGAGAGUACAUUGUUCUAACACGAUAUUGAUUACAUACAUUAAUCAUGUUCGAUAGCAUGGUCUACUACCGUUUUCUGACAGUCACACAUACACAGUGAGCAUUUAGCAUGCCAGAUUACAACAGGGAGUGCCUUUUUUUACAUUGGAUCUUUCCAUCAGGGAAUGUUCAUUGGUUUGUUCUUAAUUUCCUCACUGUAGAUUUGUGUCAAGUGAGUGGUUCAGAGAUUCUAUAUUUGGUGUUAUUUUACGUUGGCGAUUUGCAUCAUGGUAGUAGAUGCAUCAAACAUCAUGAUGUACUACCAGUCUGCCAUGUUAUUUUCCUUAGGAUCUUCAUAGAUUACAUAUAACAUGUGUAAAGCAAUUAUUGUCAUUAAGUGCAAGAAGAACAAACCAAUUAUUUUAAUCUUAUGAUCCACUAAAUGCUGCUGCUGUAGAAUGAACAUCUGCAAGUUCUGUUUUUCCUCAUAAUAUUGUUUUUUCUGAGAUCAGGCCCAUGGAAAAUGCAUUGUUGCAUAACAUAUGCACAUUGAUUCCGACCAUACACCACUGUUUAUUGAUUCUGAGAUGUCAAUGUGCAUAUGGAAAAUGCAGGGUAGUUUAUUAUCAGGUCUGACCAUACACCACUGUUUAUUGAUUCCGGCGAUCAGGCUCAAUUAGGAAAUCGCGCUCAAUUUUCUUUUGAGCUCUCUUGGCUACGUGAGGAAGGUUUUUAUGACAUAAUUGCGGCUGAAUGGGCCUCGAUGACUUCGGGUCGCACACCCAUUGAGAGAUGACAGAAUAAAAUUAGACACUUACACCGUUUCCUUCGUGGAUGGGCUAAGAACCUAAGUGGCAAAUAUAAAAAGGAGCGUGGCCGUCUUCUUAAAAUUAUCGAUGACCUUGAUAUUAAAGCCGAAUCCGUUGAUCUCACAACGGCUGAACGGGCCACGUUGAGGGAUGCUAAUGAUUUCAUAUCUAAGCUACGACGGGAUGAGGAUUCGAAAUGGGCCCAGCGGGCAAAAGUUAAAUACAUACAGGAGGGAGGAAGUAACACGAAAUUCUUCCAUCUUAUUGCUCAUGGGAAGCACAGAAAGAAAAGGAUAUUUCAACUUGAGCAGGAGGAAGGGACCAUCACAGGGCAGGCUAAUCUUCAACUCUAUAUCUCUGAAUUUUAUAAGAAAUUAUUUGGAGCAUUGGAACCGAAUUCUUUCUCCCUGGUGGAAUCCCAAGUUGAUGAUAUACCUCAACUUUCUGCGACAGAGAAUGUGCCAUUCUCGUGGCGGUAUUCUCCGAGCAGGAAGUGCAUGAUGCCAUCUUCCAGAUGGAACAUAACAAAGCGCCCGGUCCUGAUGGUUUUCCUGCGGAGUUCUAUCAGUUUUUCUGGAACUUUAUUAAAUCUGAUUUGAUGGCUCUCUUUGCUCAGCUUCAAACAGGCCAGCUACCCCUGUAUAAACUUAAUUUGGGGAUCAUUACGUUGAUUCCUAAGAAAGAAGAUGCUGUUCAAAUCCAGCAUUAUAGACCUAUUUGUCCGCUUAACGUGAGCUUUAAAUUUUUUACAAAAGUUGCUACUAAACGCAUUGCGGGGAUCGCUAACCAGGUGGUUAGCCCGACUCAAACGGCAUUUAUGCCAGGACGACACAUCUUAGAAGGUGUGGUUGUUCUUCAUGAGACCAUCCACGAGCUUCAUCGGAAGAAAAUGGAUGGGGUGCUUUUUAAAAUUGACUUUGAGAAAGCCUAUGAUAAAGUCAAGUGGCCGUUUCAACAACAAGCGCUCCGCAUGAAGGGAUUCGACCCAAUGUGGUGCAACUGGAUUUCGCAAUUUGUCCAGGGAGGGAGUUUGGGAGUCAAAUUUAAUGAUGAUGUGGGUCAUUCCUUUCAAACUCGCAAAGGAUUGAGGCACGGCGAUCCUUUGUCUCUGAUCUUGUUUAAUAUUAUUGCGGAUAUGUUGGCCAUCCUAAUUUCUCGUGUCAAGGAAGAUGGUCAAGUUGGAGCUCUAGUUCCUCAUCUCGUUGACACGAUUAUUUUCAUGGAACAUGAUUUAGCGAAAGCCGUUUAUAUGAAAUUAAUCCUUUGUAUCUUUGAACAACUUUCUGGUCUUAAAAUCAAUUUCCAUAAAAGCGAGAUUUUUUGUUUCGGUAAUGCCAAAGAUGAGGUGCUUAGCUACAAGUGCAUCUUUGGAUGUGAAUCUGGAUCUCUCCCGUUUCGAUAUCUGGGAAUUCCAAUUCAUUUUCGCUCGCUUCUUAAUAAGGAAUGGAAAUCUGUAGAGGAUCGCAUUGAGAAAAAAUUGGGUUGUUGGAAAGGGAAGUUGCUGUCCUACGGUGACCGCCUAACCCUCAUUAAUUCGGUGUUGACUUCUAUGCCCAUGUUUAUGUUAUCCUUUCUUGAGAUUCCCGUUGGAUUUUGUAAAAGAUUGAAUUUUUACAGAUCUCGUUUCUUUUGGCAAUCAGACGAGCAUAAGCGCAAGUACAGAUUGACCAAAUGGAAUAUUAUUUGUCGCCCCAAAGAUAAGGGGGGCUUGGGCAUUGAGCUUCUGGAGUUUAAAAAUAGAUGCCUCCUCAGCAAAUGGCUGUUUAAGAUACUUAACGAGGAAGGUAUGUGGCAAGAGAUGCUACGAAAUAAAUACCUCUAGAAUAGCACUCUUUCCCAAACGCUGGCCAAACCGACUGACUCACAGUUUUGGAAGGGCCUCAUGCAUGUUAAAGAUGAUUUUUUUUUUAUCGCGGGUGUUUUAUCCUUGGGGAUGGGACUGGAAUUCAUUUCUGUGAAGACACCUGGCUUGGCAUUACGCCGCUCGCCUACCAAUAUCCAUCCCUAUACCGCAUUGUUCAGCAUAAAAACAUUUCUGUUGCCGCGGUUUUUCAGACGAUUCCUUUGAAUAUUCGCUUCAGACGAAAUCUCAUUGGGGAUAAAUGGAUAAGAUGGUUGCACUUGGUCCAACGGCUUAUGACGGUUAAUUUGUCGGCUGAGCCCGACAGAUUUGUUUGGAGUCUUACUCCCUCGGGCGUCUUUUAUGUAAAGUUUAUGUACGUGAACUUUAUGGAUGGGCAAACGGUUUUUCGUCGAAAUAUAUUUGGAAGUUAAAGAUUCCCUUCAAAGUCAAAAAAUUUAUGUGGUUCGUAGAUCGGCAGGUUAUUUUAACUAAAGACAAUCUUGCGAAGCGGAAUUGGCAAGGGAGUUUAAAAUGUUGCUUCUGUGAUGCUGAUGAGAGCAUUCAACAUCUUUUUCUCUCCUGCCCUCUUGCUCGUAUUAUUUGGCGCAUCAUUUUUAUUACUUUUAAUCUUCCACCCCCGACAUCAAUUACUAAUUUGUUUGAUAACUGGCUUAAUGGGGUAGAGAAAAAACUUAAAGCUCAUAUGCGGAUGGGAGUUUCGGCUUUCUGUUGGGCUAUCUAGAAUUGCAGGAAUGAUGUGGUUUUUAAUCGAUCCAGAGUUUACAACUUUUUGCAGGUUAUCUUCAAAGCUACGCACUGGAUCCGUCUUUGUGCUCCUGCGGGGACUUAUGGAUAUUGGAUGCAACCGGCUGGAGACGGUAUCUCGGGAUAUUUUCAACCGGGCUGGCUGGCGGUGUACUAAACGCCUUCAAUUAUAGAUUCGUCAUGAUUGAUGUUUUCAGCUGGCUUAUUUUUGUAUCCACGAUCGCUUGUCGGUGAUUUGUAACACCUACUCUUUAUAACUUUGCAAUAAAAAUGGCUGUGUGCAUCGAUUGAUGCAGAGGCCGGGGUUUCCACCCCUUUUCGAAAAAAAAUGUUUACUGCUAAUGACCCCCAGGUGUUUGUCUAGGCCUCCUGCCUGUAGUUGUGACUCGGCGUGCUCCAGUGGAUGGCCAGGUGCGGAGGACAAAGGCUGCGCAACAAAUGCUUUGUUGGGAUGCUCUGAACCUUCGACCAUGCCACCACCGACAUCCAAGCCUUCGUCUGUAGGUGCUGCUCCUUCUUGUUGCCUACUUCAAUGAUAAGGUUACAGAGUUAGUGCCCUGGAAUCUCUGUUCCUGGUUUACCAUUUCUACAUUCAAAUUUUCAAUUGUUGUAUUGAGUUACCGAGCAAUCAUGAAGCGUGUUCAAGAUAUCUGUUGGAACUUGGCAGUAAUAUCAUUGUAACCUAUGAUUUUAAUAGAAUUAAGGAAAUGAGACCCAAUGCCGGCCUUGUAAUUUUCUUAGUCCAUGGUACACCUAUCAUGUUUUUUCACAUAUAACUCUGUGUGCUAUAAGAAAUAUAUUUUAUAUACUUUAUACCCGUUUUUCUGUUCAUGUAGUUAUUUUAAAAGUCGACAACCCGCCUAUUGCAACAAUGGCAUGAAUUUAUCACAAACAAUGGCACAAAUGUGUUCAAACAAUUAAAAUUCACAUAGCUGGACACUUUAGGAGCUCUCAUACAUUCACUCUCCUAAGCCGGUCCGACCGCGUUUGCAUCAUCAUUGGCCGUCAAAUACAACCCACUUGAAAAUUCACAUUUUCCUCUACUAACAAAUUAACAUUCAUCUCUUAAUUACUCCUUUUUGUUCAUAAACGUGACAUGUUUUAUCUUUGUCCUAAGUUAAUUUUCUUAAAGUUUGACUGAAUUAAAAAAAAUCUAUCAACAUAUACAACCCAAAAUUAGUUUUAUUAAAUCAGUUAUGAUAUAGUAUAUCUUUAUACUAUACUUAUUUGAUACUUUAAGUAUUACUCCCUCCGUCCUGUUUUAGGCGGCGUACUAUUCAUAUAGCACAGUCCGGUUAUGAGGCGCUGAACCUUUUUAACAAGCUUCUUCCCAAAGCACCCUUGUUACUAGUAUGACUGACCGCAUUAAAUAAUUGCAGUCGUGUGAACAGGCUCCGUGCCAGGGUCAGGCUAGAAAUUUCACAAGAUAACAUGCCUGCUUUCCUCACCUCAUUGGUAUCCGUGUAAAAAUUAGUACGCCCAGUAUAAGUGGACGGAGGGAGUAAUACAUCUUCCUAUAAUUAUGGUCCAACUUGAAAAUGUUUGACUCAGAACAAAGGUAGAACAUCUUAUGUUUAGAAACCGACGUAUCACUAACCAACUUCAAGAAAAAACUUUCAUUUUUCAUGCUCCUGUAUUUAUAUCUUUUCUAUCAUUUUUUUUGUCGAAACUGACAGGCGUGGCAACACGCGCCAUCAUGAUUUAGUCCUUCCUAAAAUUAGAGAAGUAAUUUUGAUAAUAUGCAUGACACCGGUAAAUUCUGAAAAGUGAACCCAACAGCGUAUUUUCUGGCUUCGCCCUUGUCUUAUGGGCCGUGUUCGCCACCUGUUGGCUCGAUGUGCUAGCGACAGGCGAGCAACAAAUUAUCUUAUCACAUACUUAUUUGUCCGCUCAUUACUAUUAAUGGUCUGAAAAGUUGCUCGGUUCGAUAAUUGAUGAAUCAGGCUCUUACCGAAGGGACUAACGAGCACUCGUUAGGCUCAGUGGUCUUCGAACUUUUAUCCAGGCCUAAUUUUAGGCUUCACCCCUGCGACACACAUACAGGGGGGUUUGUUUAAUAAAUUUACCUUGUGCACCAAAAAAGCUUCACUUUCCAUAUACAACGAAAAGAUGAAGCUAGCACGGAGGUCACCACCUCGUCGAGGUCCAGGAUCUCCUGUCCUCUGAAGCUUGGUGGUCUUGGCAUCCUCGCCUGGAAAAGUUCAAUAGAGUCCUUUGUAUCAGUUGGCUUUGGCAACAAUGGCCACAUCCACAUUGACCGCAUUGACCGGGACAUCUUCAGGGCCUCAACUGACAACUGUCAUCACUCUAGGGCAGAACAAAAUGGCUAGAUUUUGGAUGGACACUUGACUUGACACGUCCCACUACAGUUUAUCAUGCCCAAUAUUUACCGGCUGUCGUAUGUCGAGGAGGAAGAAAAGAAUGUGCAUGACGACCUAUCAAACGAGGCCUGGAUAAAGGCCAUCCUAGGGAGAAUAGCUAAUGAUAUUCAAAUUGGCGAGUUCAUCAGUUUGUGGAUCAGCUUGCAGCCAGUCACUCUCAACAAUGAAGUCAUGCACUCAAUCACGUGGAGAUGGACCACCGACGGCCAAUGCACCUGAAAGUCCGCAUACUAGGCACGGUUCAAGGGUUCCAUUCCAAUGUCACACAUCAACCUGAUUUGGAAAGGCCACAAUGGGACCAAAUGCCAAUUCUUUGCCUGGUUCAUCACCCAGGAAAAGGUGCUUACUGCUGACAAUCUUAGAGAUAGGGGUUGGCGGCAUAAUGUAUAUUGUGUGCCAUGCAACCAACUCCCAGAGAGAGGGCACCAUCUUUGCCUUCUUUGCCCUUUGCCAAGCAGGUUUGGCAUACAUCCUCACCAAGUUGGGUUUUGACGUCUCCCUUGUGGUGAACUCUAACGACCGCACUUAUACUUUCCCGGUGGUCCGUGACAUCCUCUUAGCAACCUUCUGGUAUGAUAAGGGAUUUCAGCGCACCACAUCCUACAUCAUGUGAAACUUAUGGACAUAACGCAACAAUAGGAUCUCGCAACACGCAUUUCGCCAUCAAUGUCUGUCGUUCGUUCUUUAACGCGGGUCCUCUUUUUUCCUUUUUUUAUUCUAUUGGUGGGUCUACUGACAUGUACAUAUGGUUUAUUUGCGCAUUGCAGCGCUUCUGCCUUUUACGGAAAAGAAGAAAGAAUGGCACAUUCCGAAAGGCCCUUCAGGUCAGCCGUGUUUCCAUAAGUUCAUCCGCAAAGGUUGGCUCUUAAUCGUUUUUUAUUUUUCUUCUAGAAUAUCGUGACCUUGAAUCUACUCUUAUUUUUUAAAAGUUGCUUAUCGGUUGCGUCCAACACUUGAUGCAGAUGCCGGCGCCUUUUCCCCAUUUCGAUUAUUUUUUGAAAGUUGCUUAUGCGCAGGAAAGAAAAAUAGAGAGAGAGAAGAGAAUAGUUUUUUCGUGAAGAGUCGUACUCUUAAGACAAGAAUCGACUAAAAAUCAGAGUUAACCUAUUUACCAUUGUACACCACAUCAGUUAAUGCUAACAAAUCAUUUAUAGUAGUUUAAAAACACAACCGAUUUUUUGUGUUAUUUGUUAUCGUCUAUAAAUGACGUGAAGAGUGACUCUACUGUUUUUAUGCCCAAAUUGGAUGAGAAGAUGUUGUAAUCAACAGAUUGCACGGACGUGGCAGUUCUGUUGGGAGAUUUUUAGCAGAGUCCGUGAGACGUUGAUUGAAGCAUUGACGAGCGUGAGUACGUCUGUACGUGUCCCUGGCGGGUGGGCACUGGAGCAAGCAUGCAUGCGACCCGGCCCUUGGCUAAUAAAUAACGUGCACGGAUGCGGUGACUCUGGCGGAGAGAUUGCGAUUGCUGCUUGCAUGCAUUCCCCGGACGGCAGAGCAGCGCAGCAGUUAACAGGAGCCAGCAAGCGGCGUGAAUCGUCAAUGCAGCAGUCAUGGUUAUCUUAAAGGACCCAAUUAACCGUGACCAGUGACCACCCGCGCGCCUUGAGGCUCGCAUGUCAGCGUUAGUCACGGCCGGGUCGAGAGGUACCCGUCAACUACGAGACGCCUGUGGUGACUUCGUCAAUCUCAAGAUGAUCGGUCGGUGGCUCAAUUUCUCGGAGGUCUUCAUAGGGGUAGGAUGUACGUACGUGUGAGUCCUUGCGUCUGUACUGUGUCACGCUCGGCCUGUGUAUAAAAAACUGCAAUCCGCCAACAAACCUCUCCACCACUCUCCUAUUAUCGAUCCAUCCACUGCACCUGACAUAUACAUACGACCACUAUAUGGACAUCGAGAUGGAGGUAAGUACAGUAGGUGUCGUCAAAUUAGUUAGAACAUGCAUGCAUAUGUCGACCAUAUCGUACGUUGAUGACUCAUUGAUGUGUGCGUGCACCUUAACAGAGGAUGAUGGGGUGCAAGAUUCCGGCGUUCGGGUUGUGGAACUACUGCAGCGACCACCUGCCCACGACGCACUACUUGGACCUCGCAAUGCAGGCCAGGCUGCUCAACCGUCGUCAGCUGGAACAAGCACGGCUACCGCCCGGUUCCUUCAACAGCACCUCUUCCCAGUCUCCACGCAAACCCGCCCAAAUCAAGGUGAUAAGGACACAAGUGGAUCAGAAGCAGAGCAACGCCGGCGGGCUGCUGCAGGAGGACAUCAGACUGUCUGAUAGUGCAACCAGGCGUCAUAGGGCUGCUGUGGACGAGGAUCUCUACAAGGUGCCACCACCGCUCAUCUACCACAAACCUAGAAGAAAGGUACUCCAGUAGUUUCUCGCUUGGGCAUGCGUAUCCAUUUUUUCUUUACGGAUGCUAAACUUUAGCUUCUUGUGCCGUGUUAUUGUUAUCUUUUUCAAUGAAGAACAUGUUUGUCUAUUUUCUUUUUCAGAUGAGGAAUGUGGUCUGGAGUUUGUGGAUUGGAUGCCUCGGACUGGACUGCAUUGCCUAGCUAACUAAACAUGAAGAAUAAAGAUUAUGUGUGACUUCAAGCUACACAAUAAUUAUGAAUCAUGCCCGUAAGGGCCGGCGGCCCUGCUUCUCUUCGUCCCUAAUUAAUUAUUUGCUCUCCAGAUAGUUUUCCAUUAUCAGCCGAGCUAUUCUAUGAUUUUUAUUUUCUUUUUUCCAUCACCACUAGUUGAUAUGUAAAUCGUGCAAUUAUCAUUUUAACUGCGAACUUUCAUGCAAGUUCCACGGAUGUGCCCAUUUAUCUCCACAUAUUCUGUAUGGAGUUUUAUGCACAGAAUUAGUUCAAAAAAGGAUGGAAAUUCACUUAUACUUCGACAACAUGCAGCAUUGAUUUGAUCAGAGUUAGAUUACGAAAACAGUAUGAGAUUUGGGCAGGGUAGUUCCCAACAGUGGUUAACCCUCCCUAUGGCAAUCAUGACCAUCAUCGGAUUAGAUUUUUUUCUUUUUUGGAAGGAAUUUUUCGUUAGAUUUGAGUUACCAACUUCCUAUCCACAACGAUGGGCCAUAAAAGACCCUUCAAAACGAUUAUGGGCCAUGAUUUGCAACUACUUUCUGAAGAAAGAUAAUGAUCAACAAACCAAGAGAUGCCUGCAAAAGAAUCUAACAUGUGGACAUUCAAUCCAGGCCUCUAUAGUAAGGCUUAUAUUCACACUGCCAGAUGAGACUCGCUCAAAGCAAAAGAGGAAUUGGGGCUUUGCCAACCAGAAACAGCACAUCAGGCUUGACACGAAUAUAACAGCAACAUGUGUGUCAAGCGAUCAUGCGUGCAUUGUACUCGUACAUGAUACCUUCCUGGUUUCAGGUACGCUGAAAUGUAGCUUCCUCGCCAAAAUACUACCAUCUCUGACUCUGCAGCAACAAGAUGUACAGCUACCAGUAAAUAGCAAACAGUUUUGUAGCCAUUGAAGCGCUCUAGAGGAUGCAAUUUUGCAGCAUAUUUUUGCCCACACUAAGAACCACAGAAAUACUCAGUUAUGUCGGCAUCUGUUUAUUGGGCUGCACAUGAGGUAGCUUGUUAGUCUUCCAUCACAGUUGCUUGUCGCUGCUCCUGUAUUACCCCCUCAGAAUUCUUGCUAGUUCGUCCAUACUGAUCGUAGUAGCGCAGUGUUACUGCAGCAACCAAGGCUGCAGAAAGAGAUAUUGCAUAGUUAAACUUCAACAUGUUUGAAUAAAGCAACAUAUUGUGAUACAAAUAUUAUAAUCCAAAUCACAAAUGGUAGGAAUCUGUCAUGAUGCUUCAAAGAGCACACAAUCCAAAUCAGAAAUGAUAGGAAUCUGUAAUGAUGGUUCAAAGAGCAGGAGAACCUUUGCGUGUCUUUACUUGGGAGUAUGAAACAAAGAUGCAUCUUUAAAAUAGUCAACAAGUCAAACUUGAGUAAAUGUUAUGAUGGAACCACAAUAGUUGGUGCAAUGGAAACUCAAAACCAACAGUUUUUUAAAAAAAGAAAAAAAAUCACUUAAAACAACCACAAUUGAGGUAAUGUCGCUCACCAAACACAUAUCAACAUAUAGUAUGAUUCAGAGUUUAUGAUAGCGUUUGUGAUCAAAUGAGAUCACACGUAACAGCCUACAUGGAAAAAGGAAACCACAUAUACGCCAUGUAAUGUGGAGAUGUGGCCGGUUGGGUCUUACUCUGCGGGUGGUCAACAAGUUCAUUCCGCCCGGUCCCUCCGCCGCAAACAGAGCAGGUGAGCAGAACCCCAGAAGAUGGCAGUGGCAGAUGACCGUCAUCAAUUUCGCUGGCCAGGAUGAAUCAGUGCCACAAGUCAAUCCGGUCUCCUCAAAUCCCAUUCUAAAUACAACCUAAUCCCCAAAUCCACCCCCAAGUGACCACGUUCCUGGGCCACAGCGCUCACACAUUGUCAAGGUGAUCGAUUUGCUUGUUGUCACUCACCUGCAUGCUAUUCUCCACUUGCCUCCUCCCUGCUGCUGACGGCAAGUGGCACCUGAUUAUGUUGAACGGGGCAGCCCCCUCAAGCCUGAUAAGGUGCGGACGGGCUGUCCACGUCGAUAAGUAAUGUGGCAACGCUAUGGGCUUCAUUUUGCCAUGUAGACUCUUAAUGUCAGCCUACUUGGUAACAGCACUGUCAUGAGUUCUAAAUUGAAGGGUUUGGGUCUGGUCAGCAAGUUUACAUCAAUAGAGGUGAUUAAGUAAAAAAAUGUGGUCAUGUGUUACCAUUGACUCAACUGGUUAACAAAAUCCAACAGUAGGUAUUAUUUUGCAAUAAGCCAAUAACAUGAGAAUCAGUCAAGCAAUUUAUAUGAACCAGUCGUUUCAAACUACUUUCGAUUCAAUUGAUCGUCAACUUACCAGCCAUUAUGCGUGUCUUCACACCAACCAUAUUCCAGAAGGUUGUCACUGCAGCAGCUGCAACAAGUUUCUUGCGGGGACAGGACUUCCAUGCAUUCAGAAUCUGGGUUUUUAAACCCCCAACUGAAAAAAAGAUAAGCAUUAUUCUUUGAUCCAUCACAAGGUAAAUCAGGUGAAAGUGGUAGAUGCUGCUUACCUUUUUCAUGAAUAUGACUCGAGUAGCAGCUAUAAAGUCUUGGAAGUGUAAAACAACCAAAAAAACCUGUACAUUUUCAUUAAACACAAGAUACUAUAGAUAGGUGAAGUCAUGAAGAAGUUGACUGCUCUUUGCUACUCAACCAUACCUGUUGCUAGAAGCCUCCAUACUGUGAACAGAUGCCCAUAUUUAGCACCAAACAGAAGAACGGGUAACACCUAAGAUUUAAGGAAUCAGAAACCUCAGAAUUGUUCAAAGAGAGUCAUUAUAUUUUUGCAAGAACACAGAUCAUGAAAUAAAAUGUAAGGCCUACUUUCAGAGUCAUGGAUGGAUCGCCAGAGAAGAUCACUCGGGUCAUGGUUAUGAAGGAGUUAGCAACUGGCAAGACCGCUUUGGCAACCUGGAGUACAUCCUCCUCGGUCAACUGGAAACUCCUUGCACGCUCCAUGUUCUGCCUGUUACAGCUUUAAAAUUAAAAUUAUUUGACAGAACUUGCAAGCAAAAUUAACACAGUUCCAUAGGCAAAACGAGAGAGAACAUUACUGAAUUGUACCUCUGAGAAAUGGAAUCUUUGAAGAAGGCUAAGCCCAACGUUACAACACCAAAGUUGCAAAGUACCUUGAUUGGACUGCAAAUACAAGGAAAUAUUCAAAUUCCAGAUUAUAAAUAUGUACAAGAAAAUUAGGUUGGUGCCAUCAGAUACGUCAGCAUUUAGGAAAAUACAAAAAAUAGAUCAGAUUGACUAGGGCCAUCACAAAGGUGAACAACUAUGAAAACUGCCAUUGUCCUGGUUUUGGGUAUUAAGGUGAUUAUUUUUAUUUCAUCAUAAUAGCAUACUUAUCCUUGCCCUCCUCAUCCCCUCUUUCUCAUCUUUCUUUGUCUCUCCAUCACAUCUUACCAACAGUGUCAGCAAAUUUCCACGGCCAACGCUAAUCCAUAGGGCCCAAGCUACACCGUGACCAUCUAUCAUCUCUGGCCCUCACUGCCCAUCUGCCACUGGUACCGUGCUUCACCAUUGAGUGGAAGAAGAGUGAAAGGUAGAGCACAAGUAGAGUAUAAUUUGGAAGAACAUAUAUGGGAUCAGAUCCAUAGUCCAGUGAGGUGCAGCAGCAUAUUUCAGAGCAUCGAGGAGCUGGUGCCGGUGCCAGUGGCAUUAGUGCCAUAUCAAGGCGGUCCACCAAGCAACAACUGUGGUCUGCAGGACUCCACCUCCAAGUGCUUGCAGCUGAGUGUGAGGCAUGAUGCAAUGCUAUUGCUUCACCUGUGUGCAGCACAAACUCUAGCAUACAUCUAUCCUAGCCCACAGAUUUUUUUUCUAUUCCUCUACUGCAACGUAUUCAUGACAGUAAGAGUUCAAUAUUUUAUCUCAAAGAUGUCCAAGUUCCUUGCAGCACCAUAUCUUUUUCUACUACAGUUGUGUUCCGAUGUAUUCAUGACACUAUGACGGUGGGUUCAACCUUACGUUCUUACCCGUAUCCCAGUUUUUUCAAGAUUUCGCCCACACAUAUGUCCUAGUUUUGUUGCACUCAGAAAAAUAAUGUCUCCAUAACUACAAGUUUAAAUCUAUUUUACACCAAGAAAUUCCCAUCUUAAGCUCAAGUGGAGAACUCACACUUGUGAGUUGUGACAAGGAAGGCCAAGGGUGGAGCCAGCGCCCGACCACCCCGGGCAGUUGCCCAGGCUCCCCUCAAUAAACCUUCCUUAACUAAAAUAAGCAAAACGACUAGAUUAACAAAUUAUUAUGGACAAAACUUCAGUUUAGAAGGAAUGAAAGGGUGUGGUUGGAUUUAGCCUAGGUUUGCCCUACCAAAAGUGGGCUAGCCAAUUUUUUGGUCAUGCUUCUGCUUGCCCAAAAUUAGCCAACAUUGGCAAGAAAAAUGAACUUGAGGUGCCAAAAGAAGCAUUGGCAUGCCCAAACAUUGGCAACCAUCCAAACAAAGACCAAACUAUUUGGUCAUGACCAAAAAAUUGGUAGGACACAAUUUGGCCACUAUCCAAAUAGCCCUGAAAUGUAUCUUGCCCAGGCUGUACUGAUCAGCUGGCUCUGCCAAUUAGGAAGGCUCGGUGAUGCCCAAUGGUAUCCUCCAAAAUUUCUCAUGAUUGAGAUGAUGCUGGACAGUGGAGUCCAUUUGCAGUGGUAGCUUCCAUAAUAUUUUUUUAUGAUAGCACCAGCCUAUUAUUUUUUCAAUACGUAGUAUAGUGAACAACAUAUUGAUGAAAUACAGCAGAAGUUGCACAUGCAUGCCUGAAAUCGAUGUCCCUUGAAAAGGAUGAAGAGAGGAAAAGCAUAGAUCCAGAGCCAAACCAAAAUGCUGAUCGCCCAACAUUCUUCCACAUCACCAAUUCGACAACCAUUUCCCAAAGACCUUCCCAGUCAGACUGCUCUACAUUCUCUGGACCUAGCACACAAACAGGAAUUAACCACAUCAGAAAAGGAAGAUUCAUAUGUAACUUGCACCAACAUACCACAACAAAAGAAUUUUAAAAGCAAAAGAAUAAUAAUAAUUGCACAGUAAAAGUGCAGACAGAACUACUCUCCGGCAGCAAUUUGUUAAAUAUGUUAAUUGUGAAUGCCAUAUAUGAACAGGAACAACGUUUUAUCUACUAUUAGUAGUGGAUGUGAAUAUAUCUGAGCUACUUUGAUAUGUUGAAUCAGAAAUUACACAGGCUUUGGUUCAGAAAUUGAAUCGAAACUAUUUAUACUGUCUCCAAAUCAAUAACCCAAUCCAGGUUAGCUAAAUCUAUGUUAUUUUGGUGUAAUUUCAGAAAAUUUUGAGCUCCUUGUUUUCCUGGUCGCGUACUGUCCACAACAAACGCAGACAGUCAGCACGGACUUCUUUUUUUGUUACCAGAUGCAGACCUUUCUUGCCUCAAUGCUGUAAAAUCCACCCCCUUGGUCCAAAGUCCAAACAGUUAGCAUAUGACAUGCCGCACAAAUUUACUGUACUCUGGGGUCACAUAUCAUCUACUUGUGGAAGUGCCAUGACUCAUUCCGUCAUUUGAUUCAGCCUCUUGUGCCAUGUCCGCUGCACAAGAUCUUCAACCUACCCUAUUAUUGCCGUAUAUGACUCAUUCACCCUUUAAGUUUAACCUACCCUAACUGUGCUGUAGGUAGUGAGCAGGUUUGAAGUUAAAAUUUGAGCGAGUAGAAUUGGGGGCUCCUAUUCAACCAAUAAAAUUCAAAAAGAGGCAAAAUCUUUAAUUAACAAGACAAUCCAAACCAAAUUUCAAAACUACGUUGUUAACAGGAAAUUCAGAUCCAGCACAAGAAGUUUUUUGAAGCUAUACAGAAAAAAGGCCUUACAUCAACACCAAAAUAACAGAAAAAUAACAUAAUUUCCUCAAGAAAAUCCAACUGCACCCACAGGAAGGGCUGAAAGCAUCCUUAAGACCACAAACUUGUAAAACCGAAGAAGACAAUUAAAUCACUGAUGAACUGAACAAUACAUGUAACGCCAAGAAGGAUAUAUUAGUCCCUAUUCAACAGUCUGCCAUUUGCAUUCUGUUAAUCAUAAGUACAUAAAAUCAAAUUAUAGCACCAAGUUUAAAAUUGCCUAAAGAGUUAUCAGGAAGCAAUAUUUCCUAUAUGAACCAAAAACUAAAAGAUUGUGAUGCACCAGUCCCGAAUUCUCUAUGAACCCUAAAACUGACAAUAGUAGUACGAGUUAAUUUACCUUGGGUUAGAUUGGUACGAGGAUAAGGCACCAAAGCCAGGCCCGACACCUUCUUCUCCUUGACGAUUGCUACCAAUCCCUUGGCAGCCGGAGGCUGCGCCGCGGUCUUCUUUCUCCGGGUCUUACCCACCGCUUCCUCCGCCGCCGCCGCCUCGUUCCCCGUCUCCUCCCUCCUGCCGCCAUUCUCUAGCCGCCGCCGCGCCCUCCUGACAUUCUUUCCGGGCGACGCCGCUGUGCGCGCCUCCCCCGCCCCGCGGCGCUUCUUUCGUGGAGACCCGGCAGCCCCUGCGCCUUUGUCGACGGACGAAUCGCGAAGAAGAAGCUUGGACCGACGGCGCCGAAUGGGGCUGUCGCGGGCAGGGGAAAGCGGGAGCACGUCCCCCCAAGGGGAGAUGACCGGGAAAGGGGACGCGGGAUCAUGCCGAGCAGUAGCGUCGGCGAUGUCGACGUCAACAGGGCUCGGCAUAGGAGGAUCAGGGGGUGGACGGCUCGGUGAAUAGGGCUAUAUUUCCAUUGAUUUGCUCUGCGGCGAGCUGGGUCUGGGGUUUUGGAGAUGGAAACAUCCGGCAGCGGGUUCCAAAUUUGAAGCUUCGCCCCUUCUAACCGGUGGUGGAUCUUCUCGAGUCGUCGAAAGAAAUUUUUUAUUUUUUGAAAAUUUCCAUCCGUCCCGAAAUAAAUAAAUUUGUGUAUUCCUUUCCGUCCAACAAAAGAUGUUUCAAGUUUGUCAAAAUUUGGAUGUAUCUAAACACAACUAAGUGUAUAGAUGCAUUCAAAUUUGAUCAAAGUUGAGACAUCUUUUGUUAGACGGAGAGAGUAUAAGAAUUUAUUUCAGGACGGAGAGAGUAGUACAUAUUAAACCAUAGACUUAUUCACUUCAAUUUUUGCGUAUUAAAAGUAGUAGUACGAAGUAGCAUAGUUUUAUUUCUAAAAAAAAUACCAUGAUAAUGAGUUAAAAGAUGUCAGUGACUCACUCACUGUGGUGGUAUUUUUUGGCGGAUGAUAAUUGCAUUAUUAUUUUUUAAAUACUCCAUCCGUCCAACAAAAAAUAUAUCAAGUUGUCAAAAUUUAGAUGUAUCUAGACAUGACUUAGUGUAUAGAUUGGAAGUGCAAGUUGCUCCAUGUGUGGUUUUGGUAAUUAAUGACAAUCCCUAUGAACUAAUGUUUUAGUUGAGAUAUAUUUGAAGAAAUGUUCCAUAGGUAAUGCAUGAAGACCACUUGAUGAAUUCAACGAUAAAUGUCAUAAAGUUAUAAAGAUAUAUAAUGAGAGUUGAUAGUUGGAUGUGUGGUUUUGGUAACCGAUGACAAUCCCUAUGGAUAAGUGUUUGCAUUGAGCUUUAUAUGAAGGAACGGUACUAAGCAAAGUAUAUGGAAUUGAAGACAUGAAGUUAUUAGAUUUCAAUGAGUGAAUCAAAUAUUGUCGAGAAGAAGAAGGUGAAGUUCCCAUAAAGAUUAAGAUCUUAAAAUAAUGAUUACAACAUAAGAAUUCAAGAUAUGGCUUCAUGACAAGGUUAUGGUGUGCUCAUAAGUUGAGCCAUGGUUGACCGAGUUAUGGAGCAAGCACUCAAGUGAAGAAUCCAUUAUGUGUCUCAAGAUAUUGUUAUAGAGAAUGAAGAAGACCAAAGCUUUAUUCAUGGUGAAUCCCAUGUACGGUCAUGAGAGAGUAUAUAAUGAUCAAGUCUUGAAGAAAUGAAGAUUAAUUGAAGAGUUCAAUAUUGCCUUCAAGAUAUCAUAGAUAUGGAGUAAAGGAAAGAUGAAGGUUGACCAAGAUAAAGUGCAAAAAUUGGAUUCAAGUUGGUCAACAUACAAGCGUAAAUGAUGUACCACGUGAAAUCUAGUGGUACGGUAAGCAUUUGUCUAUUGCACUUUGUGAACUAACCCAUAAACUAUGUGUUUGCUAUUUAUAUGUGGAUUAGGUGUUACUCAUGGGUUUGCAUCAACAUAAGGAAUUCAUAUAACCCAUGAGAGGAUGAUCAAGUUGAGACGGUCAUCAAGGUUAAUUGUGCAAGUUCAACAUGAGCAUAGAAUGAGAGUAAAUGCUUGAAGCUUGUCAUCUAUUUGGUUGUAAGUACAUGUGAAAAUGUAAUUAAAGUGAAGGUCUCUCCCACAUUGGAGUAUGGGGGAGCAAAUUAAGAAUCUUCACCAAAGUGACCGUGAUGAAGUGGAGGAUUCCAACAUAAGACAAGCAUGAACGUCUACAUCAACCUAAAGUGGAUUGCUCAAGGCAAAGGUAUAUGUAGCUAGGUUUUCCUAGUUUUACCGGUCUCAAGGAGUUUGGUGUGAUACUAGUUUAUACGUUCGAUAGCCAUUCUAUCAAGAGGGGCUUUCGGAAGGUAACUUGAACUCGUUGUGCGUAGAGUGCUCAAACCUUUGCAUAUUUUGCUUCAUCUCUUUUGGUUGAUCUUUAUUGGAUUUCUGUGUGAGUUCGUAGAGCUCGUUGUUAUCUUCGAAACAAGUCCAACUUCAUCGAAAUCGGAGUUCGUAUGUAAAAGUUAUUGCCGUUUUCGUGUGAGUGGUUCUACAGUUUUUUGUAGGCCGGAACUUCCGGGCUAAUUCCGGGUUGGUCUGGAUUCCGCGAACAACUUGUUCUAGAAUUUCUGAAUACAGCAUGAGAAACUAGUAAUCAUUACCACUAGAUUAGAGUAAUUACUUGAAUCGACUUGAGUCAAUUUAGUUGCUGUAUUAAUGAGGUGAUUGUGUUGUUGUGCUGUGUUGUUCAUCAUAUUGCAAAAAAAAAUGGCAUGUAUGCUUAUGCAUUUGGAAUUAAAUUAAACUGGAAUGAAAAAUAAAACAAAUAGUAGUAAGAACAAGGAUGCAAGUAGUUAAAAUGUUGUUAAUUUGAAUCUUUGUUACAUGAGUGCUAUAUGGCUUGAAGUUUAAGAGUAAUCAAAUUGAAUAAAAAAUCAUUUCGACCAUGAACAUGUGCACCGGGAAACUUGAAUAUUAAACCACUACGAUCGUGUAAAAUUAUUACCGAGCAAAAGCUUCAGAAGUUUGUUGUUCUAUAAAGAGAUUACACCCGCAUAGUUCCUCCGUCCAAUAAAAGAUGUCUCAAUUUUAACUAAAUAUGAAUGUAUCUAUACAUAAAGUCAUGUAGAUACAUUCAAAUUUUGACAAACUUGAGACAUCUUUUGUUGUACGGAGAGAAGUAGAAUUUAAAUAAUUUAGCUUUCAUAAGAAACCACCUAAUUACAGCGCAGUUACAGUGGCUGCGUUCUUUUCGGCUUUUAGGACCAGCUUAAGCUGACCUCACCUAGCUUCCUCUAGAAACCGCAUCUCAGAUUUAGCAAGGUUCCUGAAGUAGUUUAGGCCAAACUAGUUUGAUAGCCUAAUCAAAAUUUAGGUGCGGCUUUUCCAGGAAGCUGGGGGAGGGCAGCUUCUAGGAGAAACCAGUCCUAGAAGCCGAAAAGAACUGGUCCAGUAAAAUACAAUUGGUGCACUGCAUUUUAACCAAAUUUGCUCAUAGAGUUAUAGAUGUUGGUAGUUUUUCUAUAAACUUGGUUAAACUUUAAGAAGUUUGGCUUAUAACAAGUCUAGAUCAUUUUAUAUUUAGGAACGAAGGAAGCAUCACAUUAGGGAUCCCAAAUAUGGCCUCAUGCUUCCAAUCCAUGAAUCUUUUCGGUCUUUUCGCAAUUACAAAGCAUAAUAUGCACAUUUGCACAUCACACAAUCGUUCAAGUCUAGAGCACACAACACGACUAGAUUUGACGAUUCACGGUCUCACAAAGUUGAAGCAUGAGCCACCAGGAUGGCAUAUGCUUUUUGCAUUCAUCUUUCUUCUUAUAGUUAUACUCUCGUGGAAAAAAAUUCUCAAAAGAUGUAUUGAAUAAUUUCUCAAGAAAUGGAACUCAACAUUGUACGGGAAUAGAGUUGUACUACUCAUGAAAAAUUCUCAAAAGAUGUAUUGAAUAAUUUCUCAAAAAGUGCAACUCAAAAUCGCACAGGAAUUGAGUUAUACUCUCAUGAAAAAAUUCAAUAUUCCACUACUUUGAUUUACUCUUUUGCUCGUUUUAUCCCUGAACGCCUUCCUCUUUGAUGAUUUCUGAUUCGGCAUAGAUUGCACACUUUCUUGUGUCAACGGCCAGCACAAUCCAGCUGACAGUUCAUUUCGUUCCCAAUAUUCUGCUUGGUCAAUGCUCUCCUUUCGAUCCAGGUUUUCUGCUUGUCCAUUGCUCUCUUGCGACAACGACGAGCAUAAUAUAACUGAUUCUUCAUCAUGCAGAUCAAUUAGCAACUCAUUUUGAUCCGGUGCUUGACCUUGGUCAGUGGGUAAUUUUCUCUUCUUGAAUGGGUUGUUGUCAGGGGUGCUUUUUGGCCCCACUUCAUUACUCUCCACCGCCAGAGAGGAGUGCUUCUGCUGUAGAAAUUUGCCAAGGGCAAGGGUUCCUUUGUUGUGCUUUUGUUCACCAUUGGUAAUCUCAUCCACAGCAAAUGCUGCUCAAGAAAACAAGAGACAGUUAUGACAAGUCCUCAGAUAGAUUUGUUUCAAUGCAGUACAAACACAGUAGGGGGAAAAAGAUCACAUUUCUUUUCAAAAAAAUGAUAGUUUUGCUCAAACUCUGUGGCAACAACAAAUAAAUGAAUAGCUAUGCAAUGACUUGACAUACUUUUAAAAAGUAAAAGAGAACACUUGCCUACGAUGUUGCCUUUGCUUUUCUGGGAUGAACAGAUUGUAAUACAACUCUCUUGUGACAAAAUUUCCUGAGAACCAUGCUGAUUAGCAACAUUGAAUGUGGAGGUAUCGAUAAAUUCAAUGGGGCUGAUAGUUCUGGAGAAAUUAUCAAAUGCCUCCAUUGUAACUGGAUUCAAGUGCCCCUCUGCGAUUGCUCUUGCCAUUGAUGGGGCUAGCGCUCUUUAGAUUAUCAAGGAAUGGGCACUGUUAAGGGACGGAAAUAAACAAUAACUGUAAGAAACAUGGACGUGCCUUAUUACCACACUAUGUAAAUAAAACAGAUAAUCAUUAAUUCUAUGAAACUAUGCAUUCACUUUAGAGGUAACUUGUGUCUGCCUAACAAGCUAUGUUUUUCCCCUCUAAAUGGACAAGUUGUCUAAGAUACCAGCAAAUGGAUGUAUUAUUGUCAGAGAAGCAGCAUCAGUAAAAUAUCUACAUACAGAUGUCACAUGCUACAGCUCAUGAAUAAAGUGAAACAUUAAGGAUACGGUCCAAGAAUAUCCAGAUCUCCAGCCAAGUAGUUAAGAUAUUGUUCCUCCAAAGGUUUCAAAUGUUUGAGUGUCUUGCUUUUGACAUCAUAUCUGGGACAUUCGAAGGAGAGUGACUUGUCAAAUUGUACAGAACAGUGUCUUUUUGAAAUAGGGUUAUAAAAGAUGCACAGAGCUAAGACAAACACAAUCUUACACUCUAGCGUGAUUGAAUACUGCAAGAGUUUUCCAGAAUGAAUCGCUGUAAUCAUCUGGCACAGAAUACCGCUUGCCAAGCUUCAAGGUUGAUAAUACCUGGCAAUACUUACAUCAGAGAUGCUAGGGAUCAUGUUUGUUCAGGAGAAUAGAUAAUAUUUUCAGAAUCUGGUAUCAGAGAGCACAACACUAAUCACUAGUGUGCACAUUGUCGAGAAAUUACAAGGUACACCAUAAAGAAUUGUUUGCUUUAAUAAAAAAACGUGGCACAAUAUAUGUAACUAGAUGCAACAUGGUGUCUCUGUGAAACAUGACAGCAACUGUGCUUUGCACUUCUGCACAAAAUAAGUGCUGUUUUGCAAAUCAGACGUCACAUUUUUUUUCUUUAAAUGUUUGUUCGCUAGCAGUUUGACAAAUAUAUAGCAGUUGCUGUAAAAAUAUGUACUACCACACAAGAAACUUAUUUAAUGAUGGCAGUUCACUCUUGGUUUUAGUAAUAGUAAGAUACAAGAGACUUCCUCUUAAAUUAGGAUCACUCGACUAUUUUCUUUGACUUGGAUUCUACUUCUUUCUAACCUGGACAGGAGUCAUACCUUUACUGAAAGUCAAUUGCCAUUCAAACUAACUCCUGUAAACCAACCGAACUGGACGUGCCAGUUGGACUCUACUGCUGUGCUGCCACAGCCAUAGAAAGUACAAGUCCACAACAGUUUGUAUUGUUACUAUAGAAAAUAUGAUGUAUCACAAAUUCCCAGUGGCGACUGCAUCAUUUUUAGCAAAUAGCUCACAUGCUACAAAAUGGUAAUAACCGUGUACUUAAUCUACACUUUUAUAACAUGGGCUCUAGUAUAGUAAUUAAUUAAACUUUUGCAGAAAGUAUCCAGAGAGUACAUGAUAUUUUGUUUUGUAAAUAGCAUGAGAUAAGUAGAGAGUAGUUAUUCUUAGUUUCUUACACGGUCUAUAUUUUUGUAUUUUGAGAUGAGGGAAUAUGCUCUUUUAGUACCAAUGCCAGGAACAGAGGGAAGAAAGUCACAUCCUGCAAGAACACACAUACCUGUCCAAAUAAAUAUGUCAAUAAGAAACUAAUACUUCGGUCACGUAGUGCAGGGUAAGAACUGAGAAAGAUAUUAGAGAAAGGAAGGCCUGACUGCAUAGACCUCAAGAUACAGUAACUGGUCUAAGAGCUGAACAAAUCUAAGGUGACAGCAUGCACCUAUCUUUUGUACAGAGCAAGUUAAACUAGCAACUACUCCCUCCGAUCCAUAAUAAAUGUCAGGGAUUUAGUAUUGUACUAAAUCCCCGACACUUAUUAUGGACCAGAGGACUUUGUACUAAAUCCCCGACACUUAUUAUGGAUCGGAGGGAAUACAUGCUAUGAACAACAGGAAAAAAACGCUUCAAUAACAGCUGAACAAAUCGGUCAAAUUUGCCUCCAUACAGGCUUUUAAACAAUAUUCUAGUUCAAGUCUUCAAGAUAUAGAACAGUAGAAAUGGCAUUUACCAGUAAAAAGGUUUUGGUCGAAAUCCUUGAAAGAAAGACCAUCUUUUACAGUCUCCAUGGUUUUCUUCAUUAUGAACUCUUCACCAUUCCCGAAGCGAUCCAUCUUAAAUAUAAUCUAUAUAAUUUGACGUGCAUUAGAUAAAGUGGAGAAAUCCAAAACAUAAAUGAAUAUCAAAGUGAAUGUCUCACAGCAGUGCAACCAUAUGCUAUUAGAUCACUGUCUUCAGUUAUAACAGCAGCUAUGCCCCCUUGAUCAGCAUCUAGAGUAGCUAGAUAUGCCAACUGUGCAUCAGCUUCAUAUGGAGCAACCAAGAACUCAACAUUUUCUGACCUUAAAAUCUGACGUGAAAAAAGUUCAGUUUUUGCUACAUGAGGUGAAGAAUGGUUACGUGGAAGAACUUUCAAAGAAGCACCUGAAUCAGUUGAUAAGCCAUUGAUGGAGUAAUUUGCACAGCUUUCUGCAGAUGAACAGAGAUUAGGAUGCUUUUAGAAAACAUUAUGAAAGCCACAAUCAAAGUUUCAAAACAUCAUGCCAUAUCUCCUUAACAUGCAAGGAAACUAAGUCACAGGCUCAAAGGAACUUUUUUGGCUGUGUGCAUCGUUUUGAUGCAGAGGCCCGGAGAUCCCCUUUUCGAAAAAAAAGGCUCAAAGGAACUUUUGUGCUGGUUGUUUAUAUUGUUAAACACCGUGCAAAGGGUCUGAAUGGCAAGGAUUGAAAUGAAGCUAUAGACUGAAAUGGUGAACUUUUUAGGAAGAACACUAUUUCUUCUUCUAACUUAAUCAAAUAGGAGAAAACUACCUCGUUAUUUAAUAUUUAUACCAACUAACCACUAUUCUACAUUUGAACUUAUUUUUGUUUUCUCUUACAGGAUAGAACUAGGCUUCUGGUAAUAGAAAAUGGAUUUGAACUUCUUUUUUUGGCAAAACUCAUAUGUUCAAGCACAUGUCAACCAUACUUGUGCACCUUGUGCUUGCUCUUUUCUUCAAAAGAGAUACUCGUUGCACAUAAAAGGAAAAGUAAAAUAACACACAAUGUAGGAAAUGGAGCCAAGACAUUUGAAGUGUUUUUUUUACUUAAAAAUAUCUACUUCCCUGAGACUAGAAAUAAAAUACUACCUCCGUUCUGUUUACUUGACAUCCUAUAAUGUGUGCAAUUAACUUUUAAAUAAAUUUACUUAUAUAUGUAUAACUUUUUCGGAUUUAUCACAUGGAAAUGGUAUCAGUUGAUUUGUCACUGAAAGUCUCCCCAUGUUGCCUUAAAAAGAAGUUCGCCCAUUCAUUAUAAUUUUAAUAUAAUUGUUGCUGACAUAAGUCAAAUUUUAAAACUGAUACAUGAAGAUUUUAUAUUUUUCACAUAAAAAUAUUACUAUUAGACUUCCCAUCAAAAGUAAGCCUUACGUGCUGAAUGCUUGAUCAUAUCAAAUGUUCAGUAAUUUUCCUGUUCUGGUAAAUAUUGCAAGAAAACUGCUUACCCGGAAAAAGUCAAUGGCAGCAGCUGUAUUUCCUUGCUCAAGCUUUUCUUUUGCCAAUACCAAGCUGAGGUCCCUCUUCCUGAAUUUUAAUAACCAAGUGAAUUAUAAAACUACAGAUGGUUAUAGACAUUAUCACAUUAACCAUCAAAAAUCCAUCAAAAAAAUCAACAGAAGGCGAAUAUUGUAUUACUAUCGAAUCGCUAGUUGAUGGCAAAUAUGUACUCCCUCCGUCCCGAAAUAAGUGACGUGGAUUUGUACAAGGGAUUUAUAUAGAUUCUAAUACAAAUCCACGUCACUUAUUUUGGGACGGAGGGAGUACUAUCUAAACAUUAAGACUGAAAGUUAACUACUGAAAGGGACUGUUCCUGACGCCAACAGAAGUUCGAUUCUUAUUGUUUCCAUACAUGUUUCCAAUCUGAUGACCAACCAACUCCAUUGUUUUUUUAGAGAGAUUAACCAACUCCAUUGUGACCUUAAAACAAAGCUGUGCAAGGAGUUAACGCACAAUGCUAGUGUUGCAACAAUUAAAAUACCUCCCAUGCUAACAAAUCAUACAAUCUCAACUGAUCACACUAAGUUACUAGCUAACAGAUGAAAAAAAAGGAACUGCAUUUCUCAAGCAGAUGGUAUGACAGUUCGAAUAGGCAUACUUGUGCCUGUCUUUAUCCGUGGCCGACUUGCAGGGCAUGCUGCACCCGUCAAAGACGACGACGGGCACAACCUUAUGAUGCCGCAGGAGGUUGAUAUGGUGCAUGAAAUAGCUGAUGUAGCGCCUGGCACCGCCGCUCUUAGGGUCCAAGCACAGCUCCAUGCUGCAAGAAUAGGCUCCUUUGUGGAGCCAAGAGUAGGCAUCGAUACCGACCUGCCGACGCAAAGAACAAGCAGCGAUAAAUCCGAUAGAUGGAUGAAAUUGUAACAGAAAAAUGCGAGUGCAAGGUGAAAUAUUGGGGGAUCUAUUUACCCGUUGGCCGGCGUACUUCUUGAUGUGCACGGGCUCGAUGAAUGGCUUCAUGAAGCGGAGAAGAUUAGGGAUUCCCAUCAGUGCGACAAAAUAAUCAUAAGUCGAUUGGUUCUGGAUUUGUUUCGGCCUUUCGGGGGGAAAGAUUUGGCCGGGGAGAAGCAGAGAGGCGGAAAUGAGGACGACUAGCCUAACGAGGCACGAAGGGUUAUGAGGUCACUGACAAGUUUAGCGAAUGUGUGGGUCCCGCGAUACCCUGGGCAGUGAGCUUCGCGCGCACAGGAUUAGUUUCCCGCGCUUCCCCGCCUCCCGCGACUCUCAAACACACGUUCACCGCCAAAAGAAACUUAAGCAUAUUCUUUCUUUCUCUUAAUUUGUUGUGUUUAUUGCUAAGGACAGAACUAGAGCAGAGGCCUGCGCGCAAAUGAUCAAGAGCUAUUGGAUCCACGAAGACAGCCAGCUUGCAGCAUGGGUCUCCAAAGCUCCACUAAUGGCUCGUAACUAUUUGCACGAAGGUGUGCUACCCGUGCUGUGAAGCUAGAUUUUCCACUCCCGAUUACGAGUGAUUUUUUCUUCUCUCAAUUUCUCUCUCCUCUUCCGGACUAUCUCGAGAUCUUCCACAACCUUAAUGACUCAUUUUUUUAAUGUCCGCGGUGAAAUACGAAGGUAGGAUAGCAGGAGUAUUGAGUUCUUUUUUGACGGCCGGAUGAUUUGGAACCACAUGCCUACAUUAUCUUUGGAAUGGAGCUAGAUUUAUCUUACUUACUAUUUCUCCACCAUUAUAUAUUCGAUAUUAUCCAUGCAACAUCCCAUUGUUCCACCUUGUGCCUGCACUUUUGAUCAUGCAACUUUGCUCGCUUGAUACUUUCUGGUCAACACUCGAAAUUGUUUCUCUGCUUAUUGGUUUGGGCUGCUCGUGUUACUUGAACCACAACCAUUGUUGGAGAUAUGCUUUAUAGACACUCAUGUGAUGCUGGUAUUUUCUAUCUAAUCAUGUGUUAUGCAUGUUAUCUUGGAACACCAUCAUUCAUACGUAUCAACCAAUACGUGAUUUGUUUUUGUGAGGCCAUAUAUUGAUGAAGAUUGUUCUAAUGGUCUCUAGAUGAUCAGGUUAAUGGGACAAAUAUCCUUAUAUCAGUAGUAUACGAUUUGGUUUGAUGAUUAUACUUCACAAGUCAUGGACGUAGACGAUGCUAAUACUCAUGCGCGGAUAUCACUGAGUUAGAAAGAACUUUGAGACGCAACAAUAUGUUUGUCAUUUGUUAGUCUGGAGCAAGGUGUAUAUGCUAUGUCCUAGGCUUGAGGUCUUCACAUGUUCUCGAGACAUGAAUCAGCAUACUUAUGAGCUAUCAAAUGCUCCCCUGUAAUAGGUAAUUUUUGGAUAUCCCGUCCAACAUGUCAAGAUAGGAUUUGCCCCCCUCCCCCGACUUGGAUAGAUAACUUUGGGUCUCUCAAGUGAUAAGAUUCACAAAGCAAGUCCGUGCAUAUUUGAUUAUCAAUUAAUCAGGUUUCAAAAAUAUGCAUCACAUGUUUGACGCGAGAGGUCAAGCUUCCAACACGGAUUACAAGUAUUCGUCUAAUUUAACCCGACAACACAUAUAGCAUGACAAAAGUAGUGUUGCAUUUACCACGUUGUAUGAUUUGGCAUCACAAAUUUGCGAGCACUUGAGAGUUGGCGUGUUCUAGGAGCCGCUACCAGCUAUCAACUUGAAUUUGAGAACACUUGGAGCGAGUAGGGUACUCAAAGCCACAUGUGAGAACUUGGACUGACUUUAAGUCGUAUCCAAGUGAUCAUGACGUAUAGGGUCGUAGCCUUAUGAGUAAGGAAUCCACAAUGAUUGGAUCUAAGUGAUCUUUGUGUAUAGAGUCCUCAAGAGCCUCAAGUGUUGAGCAUAUUUUGGGAUGUUAAGUAGAGUAGAUCAACUCGUGAAGGGUUAUAGAAGACAAUAUGACACAGAUGUCAUCAUUCUUGCGCCCAAGAUGUGCCAUCGGAUUUCGCAAUCGGUCGCACGAAGUUUCUCCAUGUACAUGUGGAUACCUUGGAGGCUUGGCACCUGCCACACUCGACUACACUGCAUCAUUCGUAUUGUAUUAGGAGACCUGCUCGACGCAACAUGAAAUUCUACCAUAAUACAGAGGAGCAACCGCCAUACUGCGACUAUAAAAGGAUGGCCAGAUGCUCGCAAGAAGGGAGAGUAAUCAAGAGAUUGCAAGAGCCUACCAUACACACAUAAUCCUAACCCGCUGAGUCGCCAAAUACCCCAAUCGUAAACACUAUUGUACUUUAAGUGUCCGAUAAUCUCAACAAGACAUGAGUAGAGUUGUUACCCAAUCCGAGGUGGUUUAGACCUGUGUAAAUGUAUGUGUUAGUCGCAUCCUGAGAUUCUCCCCACGUCUAAACAAAUCACGUACGAGUACGUAUCAUAUCGAGGCAACAAGAUUUCAUCCCUUGACAAUAAAUAAAGGACAUGACCUUGCGGUAGGAAGGAGAGAACACAUAUUGCACCUUUUGAUUUCCAAUAUUGUAAAGUGAUGAUCUGUAAUGUUUUUUCCGGUAUAAAUAGCAUUUAAUAACAAUCAGAUAUGGAGUACAAGCGAUGUUUGUCUGAUUUUCUGCAUGUCUUAUAUUUCAUCCAUCCUGAAUUAACUGACGUGGAUUUGUAUAUCUAUACAAAUACACGUCAGUUAAUUCGGAACGUUGAUAAGGGGUGGCCCGAUCUUCUCAGAGAGCAACGUGGAUAACUUGUAUGAUUCUACAAAUCUUCUAGCUGUUCACCCGUCACCGCACGACGAACUUGCAACCCAAUGGAAAUUCGCAACACCACACACUUGCGCAGUAGUCCGCCAACCACAAGUGGUUUCGCAAUCUUCCAAUUCCCAGUAGAACGAGAGAUUAUGCUCGAAAUUUCAGUAGAUAAAAACACCUUAUCAAAACGAAUAUGGUGUGUAUAGGAUUCCAGAUGAAUGAUUCUCGCAAUUCAACAAAGUCUCGAAAAUAACUAAAACGUGGUCUAACCCUAACCCUAGGCGUACCGUGUAACAGCCCGAGAGCAACCCUUUUCCUUUAAGCCCUUUUGGAUUGUUUUGUAAUUUAAUUGUUGUCAUCAUCUAUCAUGCUCAUGUCAUCAUAAUUGUUUUGCCAUGUCAUUAACAUCAUGUCACAUGAAACCAUAUUCAUUGCACGAAGCUGUCUUUAAUGUGCUUGCCUUUUCGCGUGUUCGCGAAAGCCUAAAACUAUUUUUAUAGAAAUUCUAUUUUGGUUUGACAAAUUACUUCCGGGAUUAAUUAGACCUAGCCUCUCGUCUCUUAAUUUGUCACGAAAAUAUAAAUUGGUAAAACCUGUAUUUUUGUUUGAGACUUUUGUUGACCCAAAAGCCCAUUAAACCAAACCCUAUUUUUUUCUAACCUAUAAACCUAUCCUAAUCCCUUCUUUCUUUUUCUUUCUCUUUAUUUCUUUUCCUCAGCCGCCGCCAGCCUUCUCCCCUUCUUCUUCAUUCACCCAGGCGCCUCCCUCUCUGCCACUGCUCCAUCUCCAUGGCCGGCGCCCCCCCCCCCCCCCCUCUCUCUCUCUCCCUGGGCGAGCUCCCUUCCCCGCGGCCUUCUCCCCCGCCCGAGCGCCUCCUCUGUCCCGCGCCUGCCGCGCCACCAAGCCCCCUCCCCGCGGCGCCGCUCCGCCUCUUCCUGCACCGCCUCCCCUGCUCCGCCUCUCUGCCCCGCGCUCGCCCGCGCGCCCUUCUCCCUCUGCGCCGGAGCCGCCUCCUCCCGCGUCCGCCCCGCGCGCCCUCCUCUCCCCGGGCGUCCCUCGCUCCCCGCACGCCUCCGCCUGGCCGCCCUCUCUUCCUGCUCCGCCCUCCACCACGCGUGCCCACGACCACCUCCUCCCGGCCUCUGUUCCUAGCCGCGACGCCCGCCUGCCGUGGCCUCGCGCCGACGGCCUCCCUCGCCUGCUGUGAGCCGCCGGCGACCGCCUCCACGCACGCCGCCCGCCUACAGCGCUCCCCACCAGCCUCCUCUGCCUCCAGCCCGAAGGCCCGAGCAAGCCCGGCUCGUCCAAGCCCAAGCCAGAUCCAAGCGCAAGCCCGUGCCCUCUUUUCCUUUUUCUUCUUUUCCGAAAUAGUUAAAAUCUUGACGUGUGGGCCCUGCUGGUCAGCGCCUCCUGCUGUGUUGUCGUUGCUCCGCGUCGAGAUGCCUCGCUACUGCACGUGUUGCUGCCACACCUCAUCGGCACCGUGGAGACCAACAUCGCCUCGAACCUCCGGCCGACUACUUCGCCGCGACGACUACAUCGCUUACAUGAACAGCUACUUCGCCUACGACGACUAUGUGUACGACUAUCUUGACUACGUCGUCUACUUCCUCUACAUCGCGAUGUCGCAAUGAGUCCAAGGUAUAACGAGCGACCGUCCCGUGAACCGACCGUUCUUCGGCGUAGAUCCGUAGGUUGCGACCGAUGAUAUUCAUGUGUUGUAUGAGAUGCCGUGUAUGUACCGAUAGUAUCGAUAGUUGCAGGUACCUCGUUGGCGUGUGCAACCCGACCGAGUUGUUUGUUUGGUAUGUUGUUCUUGUUUUAAAGCAUGCAUCGCACCUAUUCAUGUCAUUCUCAUACAUGAUAAUACAACUAUAAUAUUAUUGUGUGUAAUUAACCAAUUAAACUCUAUUCCUUGCAUAUGGAGUUGUUUAGAGGCUAUGUGUAGAUGAUUCGGACUCCAUUUAACUUGGUGAUCGUAUAUCGGAUUUACUUUCGGGAUCCUUAAUAUGUUGAUGAGGACAUCCCAACUAAUGAUACAACCACAGCCCCUACAGCACCUACACCUCAAGUACCGGAGAUACAUGGACCAAUUACUAGAGCUCGUGCACGACAACUAAAUUAUCAGGUACUUUCGUUCCUCGGUACUUCAUUUAAUAUUAAUGAGAAUAUGCUGCUGCCUAAGAUGGGUUCUUUUAUGUGUUUUACGAAUGAAGGACCUAGCUUGGACCUCAAGGAUCAGCGUUGGGCAGCAAACCAUGGAGGUGGCAGCAAGGUGGCGGGAGGUAGCUCAAGUGUUGAUUUCAGAACAUUGAAACCGCCAUAAAGAGAUGAGAAGAAGGCCGCAUCCUCUUCAUCAAUGGGAUUUCGGCCAAGUGGAGGAUUCCCCCUCCAAUGGGUAUCUAUGGGCCAAAGAUGAGGGUUAUAACCUUGUUUUAUCGGGCCUAAGGCCAUGUAAUAGGGUCCAGCCAAUUUUUAGAUGUUUUCGUUGUGUUUUAGGAGGAUUCCUAGGCCGUUUCGGAGUCCCACAAGGGCCUGGCCGAAAACCACCUAGUUCCCCUCCUAUUUAUACCCCAUGAGCCCCCCUACGGAGCCUGGGGUUUUGAUUAGAUAAAGUUUAGCCUUUGCUACUUUCGUGUAAUCGCGUGUGUCGGUUAAACCACCUGUUUUACCGUCAUCAAGACUCCAACUAUAUUGAGUAUUCAAAUUCGUGAACCUUCAUAUCUCCUAUUCGCAAUUUCAGAUUGCUUUUCAUCUUGUUCUUACUUGUUCUUCGAUUGCUUGUAGGAACAAAGACUUUCGUGGUCAGGUUGAUCGUGCCCCUGCGGGGUCAAUAACCUUCUGGAGUUGGUGUAUCGAUCGCUAAGGCGCUGCCUCCUAGGUUGUAGUCGGAUCGUCAACGUCACCUCCUACCAAAUCGAUAAUUAGGUAUCUCAUUGAAAGAUCGGGACACCCUCGAGGCUAUCACGUGGUAUCAGAGCUUAAGGUUGCUCGGUGAGAUUUUUCCAGUUUAUCCGUAGUUUAGAUCUGUUUUUACCUAUCGUCCAGAAAAAGACAAACAAAAAUUAGAAUUAGUUGCCUUGUCCUAGAACCAAUCUGAGCCUUGCAAUUUUCACAUUAGUAUUUGCAUUGUUGAAUCUUUGCUGCAUUAAUCGUGUCGAGUUGCUGGAUUAGAUUGGAUCGUUUUCAGAUUUUUUUCUACUAGAUCGAACUUGCUUUUGGUUUUCUUGUUCUUCGUGUGACGCAGGUUUCUUUCAUCAAUCUUCCGCCGCCAAACUUCCUGCCACACCAUCGCCAUAAUCUCCCGCCGCCACCAUAUCUUCCACCGAGUCCCUCUUCGAGUGCUACACCGUGUCCCUCGUCGAGUCCUACACCGUGUCCCUCUUCGAGUUCUACAUCGAGUCGGCAAGUUAUAGUUUUCAGCCGCGAGUUCGAGUCCGAGUCCAAUCAAGAGUGCUUUUGGAAUGUGUUUCAUCAUAGAUCGAAUUUUGUUUAGAGAUCAAUUUGUUCGGAAAGUUGUGAAAAAAAGAAAGGAAAGAAAAAAAAAGGAAAGAAAGAAAGAAAAGAAAAUGAAAAAAAAAGAGAAAGAGUUCGACUCAGUUUCGGACCCAAGUCCGAGUAGAAUUUUAGUUUCGGGUGGGUUUGACCCGUGUUCAGUCAAACGGACGUAUCUUUUGCGUACCAACUCGAAUUUGGACGUUCUUGGACUUUUUGGAAAGCUCACGACGAGGUGCAUCAGGAAAUAUCCAGGACUUUCCCUUGCACUUUGACCCUCAAAUUCGGUUUGUAAGGUGGACUUUCGGAGCUUCCAAGUUUCAGCAUCCGUUUUUCGGCGUCGCUGCAGCCCGAUGUUUUUCAGUUUUCUCCACCGUCCGACAUCCGUUUUGAGUGAUCUUGCCCUUGCUGGAAAGUUUGUGUCGAUACGCUUCUAACCUAUAUUUUUCCAUAUUUUUCUGAAUUUUCUUUACUGCAGCCUUUGCGAUUUUUCGACAGACCGACGUACAGUUUUCCGGUCCUUCUUUUGCGUGAGUUUCUGGGGUUAAAAAAAAAGAAAAAGAAGAAGAAAAGAAUAAGAAGCCAAACAGAAGGCCACAAAAAGAAAAAGAAAAAAAAAUCCCAAGGAUUUACUUGUUGUGCCAUCUUUUGAUCUAUCUAUUACUACCUUCUUCAGUAUCUAAGCUUAGAUUAUUUCUGUAAUUCGUUCUUUUCGACUCCAGCAGUUAG